AUGUGUGGGUUGUUUUGCAUACAUGCAAGCAUAGUGUUGUGUGUGUGUGAUGGCACUAGGAGUGCAUGUGUGGUUUAUCAUGUGUAGGAGUGCAUGUGUAGGUAUGGGUGCAUGAAGAUAUAUGUUGCUAGUUCAUGUGUGUAGAUGGGGUAUCCAUGUGGUGCAAGUGAGAAGCAUAUGUGGGUGUAUUUCCCAUGAGCAUGUUGGAUGUGAUGUAUGUGUGUGUUUGUGUGCUAUGUGUGUGUGUCUCACACAUGCCAUGGCCUGAAGUGCCAUGAUAAGCACAUGAGUUGGAUGGUGUAGGUGCUCUUAAGCUUAUGCUUGUUGUAGGUGUGUGGGUAUGGUGAUGUGCUAGGGCACACAUACAUGAGGUCAAAACCCUCAUGUUACCAUUGGCCUUGUGAGAGUGUGCAAUAGCUUGUGUAGGUGUAGCUCUAGUGAAUAGUACAUGUGAUGAUGCACUAUUCACUACAUGUGAUCCUAUGCAAGAUUUCUUUUCUAGUUUGUGCUCAUUUGUUACAUGCAAGUGCAUAGGUUUUAUAUAUGUUUUUGGGGUAGAAUCAUCCCAGGAAUCCAUUGGUGAAGUCAGUUUUUCCAUUGGAACACUUUCUGGAGAUGACUUAUUUCAGUUUUGUUCUAUGUUUGGAGCUUGGUUCCAUGAGAUGUGGUGAGCCCAAUAGUUUGAUUCUUGGUUGUGGCAGUAGAGGGUGACCCCCUCUACCACAUGUUGAUUUUGUUUCAUGCUUAGGAACCCAUAUGUGCAAGUUUGCCCAAUCAAAGUAGGCAUGUGGCUGAAAUUCCAGAUUAGUGAAAAUCUGUGAUUUUCACUAAGUCUGAGAAACUGCUUAUAUUUUCUUCUCCUGUUGAUGAGCUUGUGCGGUUCAAUGUGUUGUGAUUCAGCCUUAGCUUUCAACUGGGAAGUUGUAGCUUAUGUGUUUUUCUAGCUCCUUGUAAAUUUUCAUUUCAUUUGGAGUCCUCUAGAUAUUUUUUUGGGUGCUGUCAAAAUGCUUCAGAGCAUAAACAGCCAGUGAGAAUCUGGAAUUUUCACUAAGUCCGUGAAAACUGCUGUUUUUGUCCAAGUUAGCAGCUGUGUAACUUUCUGUGUGAAACUCCUUUGCAUUAUCUUUUUGCUUGUGCUUGUAGUACUCUUGGAUAGCUACUGUCACAUAUCUUAUUUGGCAUGUUUGGGUGGCUGUAGGUGCUUGGCAUGUGGCUCUCAAAGUGCUAUGAUGCUGUUUAGAGCAGAUUGUGAGCUACAGGGACUCAGCAAUCUCAUUUCCAAACGUAUCAAGACUAGGAAAGCUUAAUGGGUGAGGUAAGGUUAAGUGGUGAGGCUGCUGUAGCGACUAAGCAUUUAUUUGAGGUGUCUAACUUACGAGUACAAGAAUAAAAGAGGGGGAUGAUCUACGCAUAGAGGACGUGAAGUACUCAUGAUCAAAUGAAUGAUCCUGAACACCUACUUACGUCAGACAUGACCCCACCGUGUCCUCUUCCGGAUACAUAACUCGUGAGAAGAGACAGUCAAGGUUACGCACACAGUUGACAUAUAUUAAUGAAGUAGCCGAAACUAAGGUGACAAAGGUGGAACAAAACAUAAGGCUAGAAAGCUGAGCCUUCCACCUUUUACCAAGUAUAUAGGUCCAUUAAAUUAAUUAGCAAUUAUAUGGUGAUAUAACAAGAAAGCCAUGUUAUCACAUGGAAGCAACGACACAUGCAACUAGCAACGCUAGCGCAUGGUUAAGCAAGCGGUAACAUAGCCAAUGAGUGGUUUGCUAGGUUGUAGAAAGGUUGAAGGUUUCAUGGCAGUGUUGAGAGGCUGACAUUUAACAUGUGGCAGGCAACGAGACAUAAAGAAAGAAAUGAGACAACUAGCAUGGCAUUGAUAGUAAUGGUAUCUAGGGAAAUAGUCAUCUUACCUAAGAUCCUGCUCGGAAGAAGAACGAAUCCAUGAAGCAGACAAACCAACGUAGUCAAACGGAUCCUCACAUUCCAACACGCUUGCGGAACUCUAUCGAGAAGAAGCAAACCGGAAACAAGAAUCAACAGACAAUAUUCACCAUGGCACAUACACGAUAUGAUGCACAACCUAAUAUGAUGCAUGUCCAUUUCAAUUAUGCAAGGCAAGGCAUGGCAAUUCACAACAAUCAAACACUACACAUUAAGCGAAGCUCAAUAUGCAACGAGUUGCAUAUUGACGAAACUCCACAUACGAAUUAUUUAGUUCACUCCCUUUAGGUGCACGACAAUAUUAAAUGUUAUCUAAACAUGGAAAGAGGAGAAGUAUGUGAUUCUACAUGAUAUUCUACUCGGUUAACACCUAAGAACAUUGAACGGAGCUACAGUUAAAAGAUACGUACAACACAGGAUAUUAUGCCAUGAAUGCAACAUGCAUGCAAUUUUAUGAAAACACUGGCAAGAAGGAUAUGAAGCAUGUGUCGUCAUGGCAAACGAAAGGGAACCAUGGCAUCAAAAUGGAAACGAUGCCACAACAACGUUUCAGGCCCAAUAACUUGAUGAGAUACCGGUGCCAACGAAUUGGGAGCAUGUGCGUGUCAUCCUAGAGAAUGAUGGGGUGAUCCCGGUUACCGGGUUCCCAUGUGCCGGAGGCAUGAAUAUGGGGUACCUACAACUAACAUGGCAUCUACGAAUGACAAAACAAAGUCCUUGGUGGGUUGAUCAAAAUAAAACAAAACAAAUUAGGGGUGGCCUGGGAUUUGACCACCAAACACCUCGGGUGAGUGCUCGCAUUUGCAACCAGUUGGGGGUAGUUACUAGUUCUGAUUAAAAGGGAGCAUGGGCACAAUUUGAGCAACCUACAAAAGGUCGAUCUUAAAUCAUGGCAUGACGGAGGCUCUGCUGCUGAGAGGAGCACAUAGCGGCUGCUACAGCUCCAGUACGCCGGUGAGCGUGCGGAAGGAGGUUUGUCGUUGGCUGGGAGGCCUAGCUGAUGCUCGCGGUUGAUGCAGGCGAGUCAAUGCGCUGAGCCCGCUACAUCUGGAUCCAAGAAGGGGCGAGGUAGGAGACAGCAACACGGGACUUGGCACGGCGAUUCAGACAACAGGAAUGAUGCAGAUGCCGCUUAGACAAUGUCAGGGACGGAACGGAGGCGAGAUCCGACAGGUUAACGACGACGGCGUCGCUCCAUGGCAUCCUCGCGUUAUGCAUACACGAGAUAGAGAGAGAGUCGCGUCAGAAAAAGCCAGGGAGGAAGAUUAGAAAGAGAAGGGAGAGCUGGGGCACACGGUGACGUGCGGGGCUUCAGGCAGCGGAGACCUGUUGGCACGGCGGCCGACGGGGUCCAGUAAGGCGGGCCGACGUAGCUCAAGUGGUUGGCGCAUGGCUGCCAGGUCGAGCGCGAGGGAGAGGCAUGGCGCUGCGGCUUGGGUUGACAGCGGCUACACGGGCGCGAGCGCAGCUCCUGGGGGUCUGGCUGGUCACCGCGAAUGGCUGCGGCCUUCGGCGACGAGGGACCUCGGGCCCCGCGGAAACACAAGCGAAAGGCAGCCGCCUCGAUCCGAUCCGAAGCGAGCACUGCGGGAGGUGGAGGCAUGGGAAACUGGAGAGAGCCUGGUCUUUGGAUAACAGAUCUGACGGUCUAGAGGGGGAAUUGGAGGUGGUUGUGGAUUGGGUCGGGUGAUUUGGUAGGUGGAGGUUGCAGCUCGCGAUCCGAGGAGGGCCACGACAGGUUUGGUGGCUGUGUUGUUCCGGAAUGGGGCUGGGGCUAGGGCUAGGGUCUCAUCUGAAAUUCAUAUAUGGUGGCCUAUAUAUAGGGAAAAGAAACUACCUCAGGACCCUUCGAUCGUAAUUGAAUGGUCGCAGUUAAAUAGGUUAGGGGUCCAAUGGACAAAUCGAAGAUGGUUUGCGGUACUAUGGGGUUGAUCCGGACCUAACGGUUACAACCGCCGUGUUCGGGUCCGGGAGGAGUUUCCGGACUAGGUUGCAGGCAGAGUCGAUGCAUUGUCCACAGGGGCUAGGCGGGGAUGAGAGGGAAAACAGGCAACCCAGCGACAUAUUUAUCCUGUAGGAAUAAUCUAAAAACCAAUUUUAAAAUAAAAGAAAAAGGGGUUCAGCCCCUGGCCUAGCUCGGCCAGGAGCUCGGCUAGUCCAGCUGGCCAAUCAGCCAACCAACCAACCAGCCAGCACAGGCGUGACACGCGGGCCCCUGUGGUCAGCGAUAGAGAGGGGGAGAGGGGGAGAGACUGGCCACCGACAGGUGGGACCCCCCUGUCGAGGUCGUCUUCCAUCUCCAGACAGAGAAGAGGGAAGGCACGCCGGCGGCGACUCCGACAUCCUCGUUGCCAACUAAGCACAAAAACAAGCUCGUGGCAUCUCCGCCUACCUGGUGGGGUUCGAGAGAACGACGGGGAGGGCCUGCGUCACCGGCGACGACGAGACCAUGGUGGAGGAGCUUAGGGUUGUGGUGGAGGAGGGUGUUCCGAGCGGAGAGAAGUUCGAGGGAGUGGUGGAGAAGAUCUCUGAGCUCACUACGAUCACUAGGAAGGCGAGAGCAGCUCGAGAGCGGACAUGUAGCCCGAGAUCGAUGGAGCUCCGACGGGGCGGCGCCUCGGUUGAUCUCAUGCACCGGGGCUCUCCUUUCUCAAAUGGUAUUCUAGGGGAUCGACUUGAGGAGGGGAGGAAAGGUGUGAGGUGCAAGAAUGAGGGGGUAGGCCUAUUUAUUGGCUGGCGAUGGGGCACCGAGUGGGGGAGCACCGGUGGUUUUAGCCACGGCUGGAGGAGAGGGAGAGAGGACUCGUGGCCGAAAACACGGUUUACGACCGUGGUUUAGGACUUUCGCAGACGCAACGGCAGGAGCGGGGGAGGCUGUGUAGGCGUGCUACGGGGCUGCGUCCUCCUGACCGAAUCGGGCUCGCGUGGGCACACGUUGCCUGCGUCAAUGGAAAGUGGGGAGAAGGGGCCCUGAGGCUGCCCUGAGUCGGGUCUUUGUUGGGGGUGAGGAGAGGCAUCGUGGGGAGGUGAGAACCGGCCCGGGCUGGCCUCCCUAGCCUCGGGUGCGCUCUGUAGCGUGUCAAGAGCGCAGCUUUGGCAUGCCACAACAUGCUGGUGCGGUCUGGCCUGCUUUGGCUUUGUCUGGGGUGUCUGUGGGGUGGUUUAUAUGCCCUCCAGUUGCUAGGAAACGAAAGAAGCAGUGCUGGUCAAAGGGGGGGGGGGUUCUUAAAGAGGUUCUGCCAGCAUUGUACGAGGAGCUAAAUUGGGGUUUUUGGAUCACUUACUUUGAACUAGUAAGGGGCCACUCGUCUAAAGUUGAGGAGUGGUGCUGGCAGUUUGUGCAACGAGUUUGGAGUGAAGGGUGUGUGUGUACAGAGUGCUAGAUGCUAUUUGACCAAUCUGGCUAAAGGUGUUUGACUUGGGUUUGGGGCAGCUAACCUUCACCAAUGAUGCUCAAAGUUAACAGGAUUGUGUUUUAGGCAAAAUUAGGAUGCUCUACCUUAUUUGAGCUCCAUUGGACAAGUUUUGUAGUGUAAACUUGAAAACGACCCAAAUGGACAGUUCUGCUUUAUUAAAAGAAAAUAUGAGCAAAUUAAUCCUUACAAAUCCAAUUAUUUGCACGAUCUCCUCAUUUUGGGUAUUAAGCACUCCUGCAAAGGUUUAGGCCAUUUAGACAAAAUUUGCUAUGUAGAGUGCGUGCAAUUUGAUUCUAGACAGGAAGGGUUUUAAGAUUAUUUGGUGAACCAGGCACCUUGGAAUGAGGUGAAAUUCGGUAUGCCCAUCAAAUGUAGCUUGGGGAGCAUGCUCGCACUUUUUGGGAAAUUAUUGAGAAUAUUUUCUUUGAAAAUAUUUCAAAAGGUCAAAAUAGACAGAAUGGGUUUUCAAAGGUUUCCUCAGAUAUAUUGAACAUAAAUAGGGGUUGAAAAUCUUAUGUAUGGAAACCAUAUGUCCUUUGAGUAUCUCCAAAUUUUGUUAGAUUUUUCUAAGGUAGAAAAAUAAUUUUCCCCUCAGAAAUAUGAUUUCUGGCCUUAGAAAAGGACAUGCUAAUAAAAUAGAAACUUUUUUUAUAAAAUAAAUAUUUUAUGAUUUUAGAGAGUUAUAAUAGUUCUAGAAUCAAAAUACAAUCUUUGGGUGAAGGCACCCCCUUGAAAUCAGGGACUUGUAAUGCAAACCCCAUAGCAAGGUUUUGAAUUAACAAAAAUGGGAAAAGGAUUUUUAUGAAAAUAUUAUAUUAUAAAAAUUAUUUUUAGAUCCACACAUUCAAGCAUACAUACAAUCAAUGUCAAUCAUGGCACUCAUAGCAUUUGCUUAAAAAGUUUUAACUAAAUCCAAAUUCGAAAGGACAAGAGGAUAGGCAAAGUGAAAACAAGGUGUGACAACACGCGGCUGCGACGUCAUUAAAAUAUUGUUUUAAAAAGUGCGCAUAAAACUUUCAUUAAUUGGGUUGAAAGUUGGCGUGCGAUCUUAUUAUCAUAUAGGUAGAUCCCUUGCCAAAUUUCGUCGCAAUCGGGGUCCGUUUCAUACUCGAACCGUUAAACAACACUAUAGCGUGUCAAAUUGCACAUGUUUCGGUAUUCUAAACUCUAUCGCCGGGCUGCCUGUUUUUCCUCUCUUUUCAUGUCUCGCCUAUCUGUACAAUAACCCCACCUCCCCGCAACUUAGUCAUAAACUCCCCGUGGACCCGAACCGAGCGGUCAUGAUUGUUGGGUCCGGAUCAACCCUAUAAUACUCAAACCGUCGUCGGUUUUUCAUUUGGACUUUCUAACCAAUUUUUUCGACCACCAAAUCAAGAUUGGAGGGUCUAAACAUAGCCAAACCCUACUAUUUAUAUAUGAAAUCUAGAACUAAUCCUAGCCUACCCAGUCCCAUCCGUCUCUCUGUUCGCCUCCGCCGCUCCCUCGUCCUGCCUCGGUUUCCAGAUCCACCCAAGCAGAGCCUCCCUCGGGAUCCCCUCGCAGCCAACCAGUGCUCAGCGUCACCUCCUUGUAUGAUCUUAUACACACGCUCGAGAGAAUCCCGAGGCCUCCGAGACGAAGCCAAAAGCGCCAUUGCUGGAGGUCCAAGCCACGGCCACCUCUCCUCCAGAAGACCAGGGCCGCGUGCCCGAGCGCCGCUGCUGCCGUGCGCCUCCCACCUCGCCAUUGUCAUUCGCCUCAUUGGAGAAUGGACCUUGUUAGAUCCAUUGACACCGGUGAUCACCUCCAGCAGGCCCGUACCACCCCUUUAUUUCUCCGUCCUGUCUCCCUCCCUCUAAUUCUUUCACUGUCUCUCUCUCUCAAUUUUCCCCUCUCCAUGUGUCUCUUGUUUAGGAACACAACCAUGGCCAAAGCUUCAAUGCACUGCCCCGCUUUGUCUCCGCCCCAAUGGAGCUCCACCGCAACCCUUGCCUCGGAUGCGCCUGAUUCCUCCUGGCCCCAUUGCCAUGACGCCCGUGACAUCCUCUUCUGCAUCGCGAUGACCUGAUGUUGCGUCUAUUCUUGAGGCAACGGGCAGCAGCAGCUCGGCUGUUGACCAUGCCCUGCCGCGUGGACCCACCCGUUCCAACCAGUGCCAAGGCCCAGCAGUGCCCAACUCCUUCUCGUGCAGCUAUCCAAUAUCAGCAUUGCCAUGGCCGCUGGCCUCUGUCUCCCUGUCGUGAGCCCCAUAACUGAAACUUCAGCAUUUCCUAGAUCUAUUCUCGUAUAUAGAGGUUAAUUAGGAUUGCCGCUCUAUUUAUCCACAAGAGCUUCGAAGCCCAGCUGGUUAGCUCGUUCUCGGUUCAAUUCCCGCGUGCACUAAUAUUUUGCCUAGGUUUUUUAUUUAUUUGCACAGACAUAUACACACCCGCAUGAGCCAAGUUAGUUCUUUUUUGAGCCAGAUUUGUAUUUUUCUGCACUGAGAUAUAACACUUAUUAAUGGCCAUGCAUAGUUUAAAAAAACACUGUUUUAAAAUUGUUAAUAUCUAUUUAACGUUCAUCUGAUUAAAAUGAAUUAUACAUGGAAAAUGUUCAGAAUUUCGUGUAGAUUUAUAAUAUCCAACUCUCACAUGUGUUUAAGAUAUUUACCUUGCUCUUUUCACUUAAUUUGCACAAAUGCCAUGUUGAAAUGAUUUAAUUCAUAACUAAUUAACGUAGCUUCGAUUAAAAUGUUUCAUAUAUGUAACUUGAUUAGAACAAUGUGUAGGAUAACUUGGUGACAUUUAUUUUGCUGUUUAAAAACUAAAAAAUUGUGUUAUAGGUAGAAAAUUACGAAAAUCUUAAUUGGCAUAUGGGGAUUUCCGGAACUGAUAUUCCUUGUUCUGGCCUCAAUUAAAAUUGCCUAGAAUUUCAUGUAGUUUCACAAUAUCUCGUUCAUCAUGUUUUAACAUGCUUGUGACCGUCAUUUGCAUACAUUUUGCAUUCAUGGCAUAUUAUCUUGUGUUUCUCAUAUCUUUUGGACCAUAGACCUGUUUAAAUAAUUUAUAUAUGUAAAUCAACUAGAAAUACGUGUAGAAUCACAUGGUCCACUUUAUUUUGUUUUUUAAUAAAUAUAAAAUGUGUUUAGUUCAGAUCUGGAGUUUUUUUUAAAUUAACAUAUGAGGUCAUUUCGGAAAUGCUAUAUGUUGUUUCUGACCUCAUUUAAAAUGCCUAGAUAGUGUAGUUCAUUUAUGCUUCACGUCUUGCCAUGUUUAACAACAUUUAACAUUGUCGAGUACCUAAACGGUGGUGAACUAAAUAAUUCAAAUGUGGAGUUUGGUCAAUAUGCAACGAGUUGCAUAUUGAACUUCAUUUAAUAUGUACUGAUAAAUUGUUGUGUUUUGUCAUGUCGUGCAUAAUUAGGUGGACAUGCAUCAUAAUUGCUUGCACAUCAUGUCAUGAAUAUGUUGUGGUGUUUAUCAUGUGUUGAUUGUUUGUAUCCAAAUUAUUUCUUCUCAAUAGAGUUCGGAACCACUUCGAAGUGUGAGGAUUCAUUCGACUACGUUGGUUCGUCUGCUUCACGGAUUCGUUCUUCUUCCAAGCGGGAUCAGAGGCUAGAUGAUCAUUUCCCUAGAUAUCACUACUAUCAUUGCUAUGCUAGUUGUCUCGUUUCUAUAGCUAUGUCUCGCUACCUACCACGUGAAUGUCAGCCUCCCAACAUUACCACUAAAAGUCUCUAAUCCCUCCACAUUCUAGCAAAACCUCUCUUUGGCUAUGUUACCGCUUGCUCAGCCCUUCUUAUAGCGUUGCUAGUUGAAGGUUCUGUUGCUUCCAUGUGAAAACAGGGAUUUCCUGUCAUAUCACCAUACAAUUGAUAUUUAAUUUAAUGCACCUAUAUACUUGGUAAAAGGUGGAAGUCUUGGCCUUCUAGCUCGGUGUUUUGUUCCAUCUUUUCCGCCCUAGUUACUUCUGUACCAGUGUUAUGUUUCAUAAUUGAGCGCUCCUAACAUGCUUGGGGUUGUUAUAGGGACCCCCUAGUCCCUAGAUUUUUGUUUUGGGAUAAAACUCGUCUGGCAAGGCCCAACAUUGGUACUAUAUUUCCCCAACAUAAUAAUAUUGAUCAUCGUUAUUAAAACAUAGGGCGUCAUGAACCCGAGGAGUAAUUCAACAUAAUACAGGGAGGUCCAGUGCCGAUGGUGCUGGUCCUAAAUAGAGUAUUGUGCAGGGCCAACCCAAGGCAACGUAUCUUGUUGCCAGGACAUGACGGAUAAGGUACAUGUACGGAGGACUGAUAUAAAUCACCCAGGUUGAGGGUUUCCACCAGGAAUCCGAGGAGAUCAUGCGUUUUCCGUGGUCGAGGUUUCCAAUGUGGCUUGUGGUAGUUUGUGAUGGACUAGUUGGAGCAUCUAUGCAGGGUAAAAUCUUUCUAAGAGCCGUGCCCGUGGUUAUUGGGCAACUUGGAAACUUUGUUUAACACCUACUCAUAGCAAACUCGAAGUAAAUUUAAUUAAAAUAUGCGAACUGUGUGUGUAACCGUGAUUGUCUCUUCUCGUGAGUUCUUAUCCAAGAGAGAACACGGUGGGUGUAUGUCUGACUCGUAAAUAGUUGUUCAAGAUCACUUCGACAUUAUUGUUAGUUCAUGUCUGAUUAUGCAUAGAUCACCCCCUCUUAUUCAUGCAAUCGUAAGUUAGCCACUCAAAUAAAUGCUUAGUGCUUGUUGAAGCCUCACCACUUAACCAUACCUUACUCGUUAAGCUUUGCUAGUCUUUAUACCAUUGGAAAUGAGAUCGUUGAGUCCGUGUGGCUCAGAGAUUACUACAACAACAAUUGAAGGUACAGGUAAAGUGAUAUUUUGAUGUGAGCGUGAUGAUUAUUCUUUUUGGUUUCUUCUUCUUCUUCUUCUUCAUCUAUCUAGGAUAGGUUCCAAGCCGACAGCCUUGGAUAGCAAGGAUGGACGUCAUCUUUCAUCAUUUGAUUUCAUCCGUAGUCGGACCCUCCUCUUCUACAUGAUGUUUGAAUGUAUUUUUGUAUUGAAAUGUUAAUGAUGUAGCUUGUGGCGAGUGUAAGCCAAUUUCAUAUACUCAUCUCUUCUGUACAUGUACUUGUAACAAUAUCCCUUCUUGCAAAACGGCGAGAUGCGCUUCUCUGCUUGUCGAGUCUGUGGAGCCAAAAUAAGGUUUGGAUCGCAUAUUGGGCAUUACAUCUGGACAACCUCUUUUCUCCUCUCUCUCUCUCUCUCUUCUCUCUCUCUCCUGGCUAGCUUCCAGAGCAUCCCAUUCUCUCUCCCCCUUUGUAUAAUCCCCCUGUAGAUAAAGGGCACUAGUGGCUGCGCCAGAGCGCGUCAAGGCCAUCAACAUGCCGGCCAAAAGCACACACUAGAGCGCGCUACAGGACAUCCGAGCGCUGAACUUGCUCCAUGCACAUCCCCUGGCCACCUCGAUCCCCUCCCCUCGCGCCAGUCGAGUCCCCUCGGUGUCCGCGAUAUGCCAGUGUGUCGGGAGCCGCUUCUCUAUCUCUCACCACUUGUAGCAUGUGCCCGAUGCCGCCCUGCUCGACCAAUGCGUGAGCUCGCACGCGCGCACACCACCACCUUCCCUCUUGCUUCCCUCGGUCAUAGAAGACUCCCAGUUGCAACCUCAGCUCAAAACUGAGCCCUCCCGUGGCCUCCAUCACCUCCCUAACCAACUCCGGUGACCACGCCCACGAUGCACCGACGCGUGGCUAUAUAAGUUCUUGCCGAGAUCCUCUCUCCCAUCUAGACUCCCUAUCCAUCUCUCAAUCGAGUGCCAGAACCACCCAAGCCUCCCCUCGAGAUCUCUGUGGUCGAGAUCUAUUGGAGCUCUGCCGUGGCGGGCCACCGAUGAUCUCCACGUACGACCGCUCUCCGGCCCUCCUUUCUUCUCCUGCAAACCUCCCUUGCCUCCCUGGCGUUUCCCCCUCUCUCCCACAUGGAUUGCAGCAGGGAACUUGGGAUUGCAGCUCGCCCGAUUCUCUUUCACUGCGGCCCCUUCGUCACCGGUGAAUCCGGCCACCCCAGCACCUCCCUCGACCUCAUCAAGAACAAAGCGACCUCCUGAGCCCAUUCCUGCACCCACUUCUCCUCUUCGUGCCCCGGAGCACCACCGGUAAGUGCCGCCACCUCCUUGGCUGGAGGUUGACGAUGGCUUGCCAGUGGGUCUGUCCAUUAGCCUCUUGUUUCUCCCCCUCUCUCCUCAUGCCACUGACCGCUCAGCCCCACGCAUUAGGUUUAAACCCGAUGGUUCGGUGCGCCUAGCUCGCUCGGUCUAGGUUCGCUGGUUGGGUCGGCUCGGCUAUGCUGGCUCUGGCGCAAAGGCACUUUAGCUUUUAUCUUUGACCCUUUUGUCAAUAUUCCAAAAUUCCCUUUGGCUAAAAUAAAAAUCCAAAUCAAGUAACUCUAAUUUCUAAGAGUGCCCCUUGUGCAAUUUUUGAAAAGAGAUGUAGACAUUGUUUUAUUUAAAUACAUUGUUAAAGCAUUUUAACUUUCUGUUAAAUUCCUUUUCUUAAAUUUUUACACUUAAAAACUAAAACCUAAUAAUUUUUGAAGUACUAAUACUGACUCUAGUAUUUUACAAAAAUAGGUUAACAUUUUUCCGAGUGUUAUAUUUUCCAUGUUUUCGUUGUAGCCUUAUGUUUGCCCAUUAUAUUGCAACGAGUAUAUUGUGUGGUUGACAAAGAGCUUUGAAAAGAAGGAUUUCAAGACCCCGUGGACUUUGUUGAGCUAGGAAAGCACCCCUUUGACCAUGACCAUGAACCCAUUUUAUGCAUGUCAUAUGGCACUUUACUUUGUUGCAUCUGAAUCAUGUUCAAUCAUUGAUCCCUUUGGUGGGUUGUCUCUUAUAUUUCCUCGUUGGUACUUGCAUUGCGCAUGACCCUACCAUCCUAUGGGGGUUGUGUGGGUGGGAAGUAGAUAGGAUGCUAAAGUACUUGCCAAGCAAAUGGGAUGGGAAACAUGCAUGGUGUCGGAAAGGAAAUGAUUUCAAAGACCUUUCGAAAACCCCGUCGGGUACCACUAAUGACCGAGGAAGAUGGUGCUGAGCUUGGUAACCACUUGAGUAAGAAUUGGGUAUGAGGAAAGUCAGUGUGUUAUUUUAGAAAACGAAUUGGUUUAAGUUGCGACCGUUACUCCAACCUUACAUGUACGACUACGAUACCCCUUAUGGGGUGUGGCUUUAUUGAUUACUGUGGUCGGCACUAGCUGAGAGCCUGCAUUAUUAGUGGCAGGAGUGAUGUGGUCACUCCUGAUACGAGGUUGUGCUCGAAUGGACGACCAUGGGCUAUUUUCACACACACCGAGCACACCGUUGUGUUCCCUCGUGGAGGAUACCUGUGAUGUACAUCAUGAUGGAUGGCACCAACGAGUGGACUCUUGGUUGGUAUCGUCAUGUGAAAAGUAUUAUUCGGGUACUUAUUUCGGGUAUGGAAAACACAAUGAGUCGUGGAUUGACAAGGAAGUUUCUCGAGUCUUGUGGGUAAAUCGUGCAACUUCUGCAGAAUUUAAAACUAUUUGAAUAUUCGUGUCCACGGUCAAGGAUAGUUGGAUGACCGUUCUUGCGCUACGUCCAUAAGUUUUCACAACUUGGUGUGUCUGUGUGUGAGAUAGAUGAUGGUGUGAUACUUGAUCUAAGUCAGAUGACUUGGCAUGAUGAGUGAACAUGUGUGGGGACCCCGACUUACAAGUUGAGAUUGCCGAACGAACGUGCUCAGUGAUCCCAGGGAUCAAUGCUCACCGAACACACAUAUACUGAAUAUUAAGAGGCUUACAUCCAUACGUACCGUUUGAUACAAUAAAUGAACUUAUCGGUCAAGUCUUACACAUAUAGGGCCUUGAGGGCCAACACACCAAACUGGACUAAUAGCGGAAAUAUUGGUCGAAAGCGUGAACCAAUGCCAUCAGGCUUAACCUACAUGCAUUUUGACUGGGAAGCGUCCUAGCUCGCAAGAACAUCACCAAGUUACUAUUCACCAUAGCAUGUUCUCUCAUACCUAGUCAAUGAAAUAACCAGUGGCAAGCCAAUGAGUACUUUGAAUGUACUCGCAAACAACCCAUGAUAUGGAAAAUGUAGUUGGUAUUGUAACAAGUAAUAUGAAGUAUUGGUGGAUAGCAUCUUAACUAUAAAUAAACAUGAUCAUGUGUGUGCAACAUAAGCUAGGUGGUAUUUAGAAGAGCAGGUUACAGAUAUCAAUAUACCUGUCAAGGGUUGAACACUCCGGGUUCACCCGAUAUGCCAAGUCACCAAACUUGGUCAUAUCAACUCUUUCUUAGGUAUCACCAUUAAACACACACACACACACACACACACUCACACUUGGUUUAUGCGGAAACAGCUGGACGUAGUUUAAGCCAGAUUAUCCAACUGUCCUUCACCGUGGACACGGCUAUUUGAAUAGUUUUACACUCUGUAGAGGUUGUACGCUGUGCCCACAAGAUCCGGGAAACUUCCGUGUCAUCCACGACUCACGGUAUAUAACAUACCCGAGGUAAGUACCCGCUCAAUGUGUUUCCCCUGACUUUACUAGACAAAGAGAUCCACUCGAUUGGUACCCAACCCACAUGAUGUACGUCUUAUGAGCAACGACUCUGAAUAGUAUCAUCCAUGCGGGGACCAACGGUGUGCCCGAAACACGUAAAACGACAUAGUCGCCCUACCUGGUACGUCCCCAUCAUGAGAGUGCCACACAUCACUCCCACCACUAGUAAUGUGGUUCUUUGCUAGUGUCGAUCAGAGUAAUCAACAAAGCCUCGUCCCAUAAAGGGGUAACGUGGUCGUACAUGUAAGGUUGGGACGGUCGACACAUCAUAAAUCUAUUCCCAUUUCCGAAACCAUACACACACAAAAUACCCCGUGCACCACUUCACCAAAAGUGGCCACCUAACUCAUCAUCACCCUGGGACAUUAGUGGCACCCAACGGGGUUUUCAUUAACCUUUGAUAUAUAACAUCAUCAUGCUCAUUCUUCCACUAUGCUUAGCUCUACUUGUCAACAUGACAUUAGCGUGACCCUCACAGGUGAUAGGAUCAUGCUCAAAAUGCAAGUGCUCCAGAGGAGCCAUCGGGAAUAUCACUUCAAUGAUUUACCGAUACUUAUGAUCACAUGCAACAGAAAGAUUUGUUCUACUUAGCAUCCAAUAUAAUAUAUGCUCAAACAUGGUCAAAGGGCUUUUUUCAUUGAUCACAUAAGUCCUCUGGGGCUUCAAGGUCUUCUGGUCAAACUCCGAGUACUUUGUCUACUCCGUCAACUAAAGUCGGAAACAACACAGUAAGCCAACAACAAUCAGAAACAAAAUGCUACAAAAAUGGAAUGUUAUAUUUUCCUUGGACCUAUCUGGUCAUAAGAAAAAUACUUGAAACUUGCUAUAGGAGAUUUGGAUCAUCAGGGAAUUUUGAAUGGAAGAAAGGAGGAAUAGCUGAUGGUAAAAGAAACCUACUGAAAACAUUAUGAUAAAAAUGAGUGGAGACACUUAUUUAACAAAGAGCAAUUUUAGAAACAUUUAGAAAGUUGUUUCACUGGAUUUGGAGUUGAGGUGAAUAUUCUAUGGAUUUUCUAAUAUUGGACAAAUCGCAAAAGAGGGCUAUUUAUUUAUGGCAACAGAAAUAAGUCAUACAAAAAUGUUGACCAAGGCUUCAAAAAUAGGAUCUGAUAUAAGAAGGAUCUGAAAUUGGAAUCACUCCAUUUGGAGUUGAUUUGAAUCCUCUAGGAUUUUUGAAAGGGGGUUUAGAAGCACCCAAAUAUGUAUUUAAAUAUAAAUACAUCAUAAAAGUUGUUUGGAAAAAUGUGCAAAGCACACCGCUGGAUAAACCUUGAUUUUAGGGACCUGUAGAAAUUUGAAUCAUUAAUUUUGGAGCUCAAAUGGUUUAACUAAAUAUUUUUCAAAUGUCGGGACCCCGAUCCUAAGCCAUAGGAAUCCAGCCUGUAACACAUUGCAUCCCUUUGCGGUCUCACGCACGGUUAUCCCCACGGCUGCCACCUUACCUUAGCCGGGACCGUUUGGGCCUUUUGAUCAUGUAUGCAUUAGUGUCGCUAGCAUUCCAAUGUCAAAGAACCCGGGUCGACAUAUCUUGUCAUAAACUCAAGUGGCUCGUCUGUACACAGAUAGGCAUACAUAACCCAGCAAAGCAGGUGUCGGUCAACAAUGAGUGUAGACAAGUCGUACCAAGCUACCAGGACUCCAUUACACCGCGUGACAUUUCCCCGUAGGGACAGACACAACAACUAAGAAGGAUACAUGCCGGUCAACCAAUGUGUCCGGAGCAGUAGUGAACUACCAAGGCUCGGUGGAAUCACAAAGGGGCAUUUCUCUGUAUAGAAAUAUACUAAGGCAUACGACUAGGUGUCGAAUGCCAUACAUAUCACAGUGCAUCACACGUACGCAUGACAUACUAGAUAUGCAUACAUACAACAAUGGCAUCACAACAUAACCAUAGAACAUCACGACAUUUAUUUAGAAGACUCGGAAGAGUCUUGCACAAUAUGUUCAUACAAGCAGGGGUCACACGACCCGACACUCAUAGUCAUACAAACAAGUCAUACAAACCAACGGAAGCAUAAAAGCUGUAUGAGUACACACAGUUGAAAGGAUAAGGCAUAAAGCCUGACUAUCUACAUAUCCCUUCUGAAAGGGGCCAGGUCGUAGCUGGGACACCAACUACCCGUCAUCAUCGAUGUCUAGAAAGAACCCACAUGUUGGCUCAUGGGUAUCCUCUGCAACAAUUAUUAAGCAAACACGAGUACAAGAGUACUCAGCAAGACUUUAGAACAAAUCUAUCUACUCAUGCUCACGUAUCAACAAAGGGGUUGUGGUGUUUCAUGCAGCAAGCCAGCUUUGACUCUUGGCUAGACAGCACUACGUUUUUAAAUAGUUUUGACCACUUUGUUUUCUCGCACACGAGUCCACUAACUCCACAACAAUACACCUUCAUGGAAUCAUUCCUGUCUUCCUAUGGAAAUGCCAUCCACGACACUCACAAUUAUCUUGAUACUUUUAUGAGUAGCCAUUAAUGUUGUCUAUGAACAACAUAUGUUUCCAAGUAGUCCAUAUCCGCGGACGUGGCUAUUCGAAUAGAUCAUAACCCUGCAGGGGUGUACUUCAUCACACACGCUCUCGCCACUUAUCGCUAUGUGCACCUCAUGCACCUCGGCAACCUUCAAGCAGAAGCCCAGCGAGGGAAUCAGCCACGACCAUUAACCACGCUAAUACCUAGUCCAGGUUUACCGCCUAUUUGAGAGUAACCCGCACGGAAGUCCAGCCGAGGUUUCUGCCACGGCCCCAAACGAUGUACACAUGGUUCCCAAGCCCACCAUCCGGGUGCCACUUGGUACACCGUGCCACUGCCUACCGCAUCAUAGCCCACCUCUAUGGUCAGCACUAUGCACGGCCUCCAGCAUGACUAUAAACACCAGAAACAAAGUAUCUCGUCUUGGAUUACAUACACGGAACUCAUAUUUCAGGGCCAAGCAUGUGGUAGUAUCUCGUCUUGGAUUACAUACACGGAACUCAGUUCCUAAGGACGGUUCCAAUGAAACAACCCGCUAUGUACUCCUACAUAGCCUUUCACCGGUACCUCUACCAAACCAGGUUCAACACACAACCUUUAUUAAUAGAACACAUUCUCACGAUCAUGUUCAUCACCCAGAUGACAGACCAAACACAACUCUAAGCAUAGCAUGCAUAUCAGGAUAAGGCACAUCAUGGCUCAAGCAUCUACCAGGUAUGCUAGGUUGCAUGGUUUUAGCUACUUACUGUGACCAAGACAGGUCAUGCAAAGGAAUGAGUUCAACUAACGUGGUAAAAGCAUUUGAAGCAUUUUGACCUAAUGCAAUAAAUAAGAGCAGGAGCGAGAACAUCGGAUUUAUCGGGAUGAUCAAAAUUGUUGCUUACCUUGUUGCUCAGCAGAGGGGUAAUAUCCGUCAGUCGGAUAAUCAGUCGUAUCCGGAGGGGUGGGGCCUACCGAAUAAAAACAUACAAUUAAUAGCAAUCAUAUGCAAAAAUCAUGAUGCAUGAACAUGGCAUGAAAUGAAGGGUGAUAUGAUUCAGUGUGGUUGGUGAAACCUUAAUUUGCAUCUGGUUUGAAAUCCUAAUUCAAAUAUCAUUUGAAAUGGCAUAUUUAUCUUAAUAAUUUAUUGAUUUGACCUGAUGCUGUUUCAUAACUUUGUUUUUCAUGCAUGAAAGUAGCACCAUUCUCUUCAUUGAAUUUUUCGGAUGAAUUUGCAUAUAUUAUUUGUCUGAUUUGGAGUUAUAAUCAAAUUUCUAUGAGUUUCCAAUGUUUUGAAAUUAUUCUGGAACUAUUUUAAGACGAGAAUUAGACUUAUUGCAUCAGCAUGACAUCAACACGUCAGCUGGCCGUUUGAAAGUCAAAUCUGACGAGUGGGACCCACUGGUCAGUGACUCUGGCAGCUUUAAAUUAAGUUUAAACUUAAUUAGGUAAUUAAUAGAGCUGGACCCACAUGUCAGUGACUGUUUAGGGUUUAACAAAUUCUUUAUUUUUAUUUUUAUUAAACUUAAUUAACCAGGUGGCUGGCCCCACUUGCCAGUGACUCAGGGGAGUCAACCCCACCGGCGAUGGGGUCAAACCCAUCGGCGGCGAGGCUCCGACGACCACCAGAACGGCGGAGGGCCUCGAGUUUUCUAUUCCGACGACUAAACGCAAGGCGGAAGGCACCAGAGGAACGGUUGUUCGAGCGCGGUUCCAUUUUUGCAAGGAACAGGGCUAAUAUGGCCAGAGAUGAUGCCGGCGACGAGCUCAGCGGCUGCCGGAGUUUGGGUUGCGACGAGGUCAUCGAAUCCGAGGGCAAAUCACGCGGGGUUGGGAUCCUAGAGCAUCUACGCGAUGCACUGUAGCUACCGGUGGCCUCAGAAUGACCAACCGAUCACCGGAGAGCUACUGGCGACGAGCUCCCGCGGCGGAUCUCAUCGGGCUCCGGUGGAAUCGGGGCCUAGACCACGGGAUCGAAGGGGAAAACGUGGGGGAAAUCUUCCUGGGCUAACUGGGAUUGCAGAGGCGUCGAGAUCAGGCUCGGAAGAGGACUGAGGUGGGAGAACGACGGCGGCGAGCUCCGGGGAUCUGAGGUUGAAGAUGAUGGCGUCAUGACGUCUCAGGUGUUCUCGGCGUCGAGCAGCUAGCUGGAGAACUUCAGGGGACUAUGGCGAUGCUUUUGCGCAGCUCAGGCAGGAGGGAGAGGGGCUGGAGCAACGGCAAGCUCGAGCUCAGCUCGAGCUCUAAUGGUGACCAAGAGGGGAGAGAACAGGGGGAGGAAUGAGGAGAGGAUGAGCUCGGGAGGAGGUCGCGGGAGGUUAUCCCUUCCUUGCUAGCACGAAACGGCGGCCAGACAUGCACAAGGAAGACGACAGGGCGAGCUGGGCUGGUCCAAGGGUGAGUGACAGGUAAGUUUUUUUCUAUAUUUUUUAAUUUCUGUUUUCGGUUAAAGCAUUUCUCACUUUGUUUCAUUUUAUUUUUGGCUCCAAACUAUUCCUAAAAUAGAUUGAAACACGCUAGGGUGUUAUUUGGAAUAUUUCCAAACACAUAUAAAGUUUUCAACAUUUUUGGAAACUUUGGAUUAUUUGAAAUCAAUUAUUUAGUUGAUUUCACUAACAUUUGAAUUUAAAAUAAAAUGCCAAAAGCAUUUUCAAAAUAAAUUUCACCCCUGAUAUUUUGUUUUCAACAUUUAUCGGAAGUGAUGAACUUUUAUGAUGGCCAUUUUGGGUUCAUUAAUUUGCCACCAAAUUUGAAUUGCUUUUGAAUAUAGAGUUGCUAGGGUUUGCUUUUGAUUUCAUUUCAUUUUCUUGGACGCAAUGAAGAAGACAUGAGCACAAUCUUGCUAAAGUCUAUUAGGGAUUCAGGGAUGUGACAACUCACCCCCACUGAAAAGAAUCAUGUCCCGAGAUUUGGAAGUCGUCGGGAAUAGCGCGGGAUACUCAAGUCGUAGACGAUCCUCUCUUUCCCAUGUUGCCUUUUUUCAGAAUGAUUUGACCAUUGAAAUUUAAGAAACUUGAGGUUUCGAUGUCGAGUGGUACGCUCAGCUUGAUCAAGAAUAUGAAUAGGGUAUUCUCGCUAUGAAAGGUUAUCUUGGAGAUCAUGCGUUUCGUGGUCCACUUCACGGAUAGGAUCCGAAAAGCAAGGUCUGAGUUGCGAGACGUGGAAUACUUCAUGAACCUUGGAAAGAUGCGGAGGAAGUUCCAACUGUUAGGCAACUUCUCCUCGUUUGGCAAGAAUGCGAAAAGGACCGAUGUAACGAGGAGCCAACUUGCCCUUGAUACCGAAACGAUGGGUACCCUUCAGAGGUGUAACCCGAAGGUAAGCCUUCUCGUCAACUUCAAAGGUCACAAACUUAUGAUGACGAUCAUAUUGGCUCUUUUGACGGGACUGGGCUAUUUUCAACUUUUCACGCAUAAUGCGAACUUGCUCUUCUACUUCCUGGAUCAUAUCCGGACCAAAGAGUUGCCUCUCUCCGGUUUCUGACCAAUUAAGAGGGGUUCAACAUCUUCGUCCAUAGAGAACAUCAAAAGGAGCUUUGCCCAAGAUUGAUUGAUAACUAUUGUUAUAAGCAAAUUCAGCGAAUGGAAGGCACUUCUCCCAAUUCAUGCCGAACAAUAGAACAAAAGCUCGGAGCAUAUCUUCUAGGAUUUGAUUCACUCUUUCUACUUGACCACUUGAUUGAGGAUGGAACGCAGUGCUACAAGAUAGGUGAGUCCCCAUGGCAUUCUAAAAACAUUCCCAGAAGCGAGAAGUAAAAAUACUUCCACGGUCUGAGUUAAUCUCCAGAGGAACACCAUGAAGAGACACUAUUCGAGAGAUAUAUAACUCUGCUAGCUGGCUGGCUAUUAUACUCUCACAAACUGGAAUAAAAUGAGCUACUUUGGAGAGACGGUCAAUGACCACAAAGAUGGCAUUAUUUCCUUUCUUGGUCUUCGGAAAUCCAGUGAUGAAAUCCAUACCGACUUUAUCCCAUUUCCAUUCAGGAAUAGCUAAAGGUCGAAAGGUGCCAACAGGCCUUUGAUAUUCUGUCUUAACUCGACGACAAACGUCGUAGUUAGCAACAAACUCAACAAUUUUUCUCUUCAUCCUAGUCCACCAAAACCUAUGGCGUAGGUCCUCAUACAUCUUAGUACUACCAGGAUGAAUGGUGAGAGGAGAAUCAUGAGCCUCCUUAAGGAUCAACUGCCCUAGAUGUGGAUUCUUAGGAACCACUAGACGAUUCUGGAAGAACACAACAUCUUGAUCAUUCAUGGAGAAUUCGCCCUANNNNNNNNNNNNNNNNNNNNNNNNNNNNNNNNNNNNNNNNNNNNNNNNNNNNNNNNNNNNNNNNNNNNNNNNNNNNNNNNNNNNNNNNNNNNNNNNNNNNAUCAACCGAUCGAGUUCUAACCAAUAUUUUGGAUCCCGGAUGCGCAAAUUUUCUCGUGGAUAUGAAAAGAACUUGAACUAGUAUUCUUCAUAAAAGAGGUAAUAGCUCAGUGGUACAUCAACUACGUGCGCGGUAAGCUAAUUUUUUGGUCGCGAGUUCGAUUCGUUGGGGCCCCUUUUUUUCAUGUUUUCUACUUACCUAUUCUAAAUAACAAACAAAAAGCUGCAGAUGAUGGAUUCGAACCAGAGAGUUCGAUUUUUUGGGGCCCCAUUUUUUUAGGUUUUCUACUUACAUAUUCUGAAAAACAAAAAAAAUGCAGAUGAUGGAUUCGAACGAGCUAUCUCUGGACAUAGAUAAUAGAUCGUUACCACGACGCCACAGUANNNNNNNNNNGUGCUGGUAUACUUGGGAGACACUGCUUAUUUACUAUAGCUGGAGUUUCAAUUCAAAAUAUUCAAACACUUCAGAAUUAUUUGCUCGGGAUAGAUAAUUCUCGCGGGGUGGCGAGAAAUGCGGUUACCGCCAGGUAUCCAAAUUUCUUGGGCUGUACCCAAAACCGUGGUUCUAACUUCAUAUAAAAAAAUCAAUCGAUCUCCUACAGUAUAGCUUGCAAAAAACUAGAGGGUAUAUUGGUCAUUCCAUGUAGAAUUAUUAAUAAGUUCAAUAAAUCAAAUCCACGUAUCUGGGAUGAUUAAGGUCCUAUUUCCAGCAAGGAGGAAUGAUUAAAAUUAUUAUUUUAAGAUCUUAUUACAUACAAUAUAUGAAUGUCACAAGAUCUUAUAUUAUGGAAAGGAUAGAGCUAGCGUGUUAAAACUUUGUCCGGCUGAGCCCGCGUCAUUGGAUCGAAUGGCCAUCACAGCUCGUCAUGCACCAUCUCCUUGCACGACCGCAUAGCGACUUGCCGUCGUUGCCCCCUACAGCUGCGAACUACUACAACUUCAUUGACGACAAUGGUAAUAAUUGGGUGGUUUUGACAGUCGCAAAAGAGGACAAUCGUCUCGUACCCCGCGACAGCAUGCCCGCGGUCGUGGAGAACUACAACCCACGGCGCCAUAUGUUAUAAAUGGCGAUGGGAUACCGGAAUCAACUUAUUUAAAAUAUAAAAUAUAAUAUGCUACAAGCACAACUAAUUUCAAUAGCCUUUCAAGUUGAAAAUAUAAUUAUUAAAAGUUUUAUCAAUAGAUUCGCAUACUAAAGCGCCUUAUAAAUCGUCUCUAAGUUGAUUAAAAUUGUAUAGCUAUUUUCUAAAUGACCAAUAAUAAGAAAAAGUGUGUGGCGUUCUGUAAACGUGUUAAGAAGCGUAUUUAGCCUACUAGUGUUUAUGGGCGUAGAGACGAAUACAAACAAUGUCUCAGAACAGCGACUUUACAAGCCAUUUUUGUUGUAGUGGUCAUUCUAGAGCUAACUUGGGUUAACUAUGUCAUUUUGGAGCUAACUAUGCUUAUUAAGCCAUUUUGGAGCAAGCUAAGCUAAUUAUAGUGCAUUUAAUAGCUAAGUUAGGUGGAAUAGGUCAUCUUGGAGCUACGUAAGCCUUAUUAUGUCAUUUAGGAGAGAACUUAGCUAAGUAUAGAUCAUUUUUUACUAAAUAGGCUAUUUGUGAGCUAACUAAGCUAACUAUGUCAUUUAGGUGGAAUCCUAGCUAACUAUAGGUCAUUUCCGAGCUAACAUUGGUAAAAUAGGUCAUUUUGGAGCUAACUAUGCUUAUUAAGCCAUUUUGGAGCAAGUUAAGCAAAUUAUAGGCCAUUUAAUAGCUAAAUUAGGGGGAAUGGGUCAUCUUGGAGCUACAUAAGCCUUAUUAUGUCAUUUAGGAGAGAACUUAGCUAAGUUAGGGUCAUUUUUUAAUUAAAUAGGCCAUUUUGUAGCUAACUAAGCUAAUUAUGUCAUUUAGGACGAAACGAAGCUAAGUAUAUGUCAUUUUGGAGCUACUUAGGUAAAAAAUAGGUCAUUUUUGAGCUAACUAUGCUUAUUAAGCCAUUUUGCAGCUAGCUAAGCUAAUUAUAGGCCAUUUAAUAGCUAAAUUAGGGGGAAUAGGUCAUCUUGGAACUACGUAAGCAUAUUAUGUCAUUUAGGAGAGAACUCGGCUAAGUAUAGGUCAUAUUUAAUAAAUAGGCGAUUUUGGAGCUAACUAAGCUAAUUACGUCAUUAGGUGGAAGCCAAGCUAACUAUAGGUCAUUCUAGAGGUAACUUGGGUUAAAUAUGUCAUUUUGGAGAUAACUAUCCUUAUUAAGCCAUUUUGGAGCUAGCUAAGCCAAUUAUAGGCCAUUUAAUAGCUAAGUUAGGGGGGAAUAGGUCAUCUUGGAGCUACGUAAACAUAUUAUGUCAUUUACUAGAGAACUUAGCUAAGUACAUGUCAUUUUUUAUUAAAUAUGCCAUUUUGGAGCUAACUAAGCUAAUUAUGUCAUUUAGGUUGAAGCCAAGCUAACUGUAGGUCAUUCUAGAGCUAACUUGGGUUAAAUAUGUCAUUUUGUAGCUAACUAUGCUUAUUAAGCCAUUUUGGAGCGAGCUAAGCUAAUUAUAGGCUAUUUAAUAGCUAUGUUAGGGGGAAUAGGUCAUCUUGGAGCUACGUAAGNNNNNNNNNNNNNNNNNNNNNNNNNNNNNNNNNNNNNNNNNNNNNNNNNNNNNNNNNNNNNNNNNNNNNNNNNNNNNNNNNNNNNNNNNNNNNNNNNNNNAAUAGCUAAGUUAGGGGGAAUAGGUCAUCUUGGAGCUACGUAAGCCGUAUUAUUUCAUUUAGGAGAGAACUUAGCUAAGUAUUUGUCAUUUUUUAUUAAAUAGGCAAUUUUGGAGCUAACUAAGCUAAUUAUGUAAUUUAGGUGGAAGCCUAGCUAACUAUAGGUCAUUUUAGAGCUAAGUUGGGUUAAAUAUGUCAUUUUGGAGCUAACUAUGCUUAUUAAGCCAUUNNNNNNNNNNCUUGGAGCUACGUAAGCCUUAUUAUGUCAUUCAUGAGGGAACUUACCUAAGUAUAGGUCAUUUUUUUAUUAAAUAGGCAAUUUUGGAGCUAACUAAGCUAAUUAUGUCAUUUAGGUNNNNNNNNNNUUUGGAGCUACGUAAGCCUUUUUAUGUAAUUCAUGAGGGAACUUAGCUAAGUAUAGGUCAUUUUUGUUAAAUAGGCAAUUUUGGAGCUAACUAAGCUAAUUAUGUCAUUUAGGUAGAAGUCUAGCUAACUAUAGGUCAUUUCGGAGCUAACAUUGGUAAAAUAGGUCAUUUUGGAGCUAACUAUGCUUAUUAAGCCAUUUUGGAGUUAGCUAAGCCAAUUAUAGGCCAUUCAAUAGCUAAGUUAGGGGGAAUAUUUAUCUUGUAUGUACAUAAGCCUUAUUAUGUCAUUUAGGAGAGAACUUAGGUAAGUAUAGGUCAUUUUUUUAUUAAAUAGGCCAUUAUGGAGCUAACUAAGCUAAUUAUGUUAUUUAGGAUGAAACGAAGCUAAGUAUAUGUCAUUUUGGAGCUACUUAGGUAAAAAUAGGUCAUUUUUGAGAUAACUAUGCUUAUUAAGCUAUUUUGGAGCUAGUUAUGCUAAUUAUAGGUCAUUUAAUAGAUAUGUUAGGGGGAAUAGCUCAUCUUGGAGCUUCGUAAGCAUAUUAUGUGAUUUAGGAGAGAACUCAGCUAAGUAUAGGUCAUUUUUUAAUAAAUAGGNNNNNNNNNNNNNNNNNNNNNNNNNNNNNNNNNNNNNNNNNNNNNNNNNNNNNNNNNNNNNNNNNNNNNNNNNNNNNNNNNNNNNNNNNNNNNNNNNNNNNNNNNNNNNNNNNNNNNNNNNNNNNNNNNNNNNNNNNNNNNNNNNNNNNNNNNNNNNNNNNNNNNNNNNNNNNNNNNNNNNNNNNNNNNNNNNNNNNNNNAUUUGGAGCUAGCUAAGCUAAUUAUAGGCCAUAUAAUAGCUAAGUUAGGGGGGAUAGGUUAUCUUGGAGCUACGUAAGCCUUAUUAUGUCAUUUAGUAGAGAACUUAGCUAAGUAUAUGACAUUUUUUAUUAAAUAGGCAGUUUUGGAGCUAACUAAGCAAAUUAUGUCAUUUAGUUGGAAGCCUAGCUAACUAUAGGUCAUUUUGGAGCUAACUUGGGUANNNNNNNNNNNNNNNNNNNNNNNNNNNNNNNNNNNNNNNNNNNNNNNNNNNNNNNNNNNNNNNNNNNNNNNNNNNNNNNNNNNNNNNNNNNNNNNNNNNNGGCUCGGGAGUCAGUGACGUCGGGGGUCGGGGGUCGGGUGUCAAUGGUGUCAUGGGUCGGGGGUCGAGGGUCAAUGGCGUCAGGAGUCGAGGGUCAAGGGUUAGUGGCGUCGGGCGUCGGGGGACGGGGGUCGAGGGUCAGUGUUGGGGUGCCGGGGUUCCUUUUUCCUCUUCUUUGUUCUUCUCCUCUCUCAUCUUCUUCUUCUUCUUCUUCUUCUUCUUAUUAUUAUUAUUAUUAUUAUUAUUUUUUCUCCUCCUCUUCUUCUUCUUCUUCUUCUUCUUCUUCUUAUUCUUAUUCUUCUUCUUUUUUCUCCUCCUCCUCCUCCUCUUCUUCUUCUUCUUCUUCUUAUUCCACUUCUUCCUUUCCUUCUUCUUCGUCUAAUUAUUUUCUUAGUUUCCUUUUUCCUUUUUCAUUUUUUCUUCUUCUUUUCUUUUUUAUUAAGUUAAUUAGUUUAGUUAGUUUAUUAGUUUCCUUUUUCCUUUUUCAUUUUUUCUUCUUCUUUUCCUCUUUUUUCUUCGAACCUAACUAACUAACCUAAUUAUCCUAAUAAUCUAACCUAACAAACUAACCUAAUAAACUAACUAAAUUAACCUAUAAUAAAAAACUAACCUAAUAAACUAACUAAACUAAUUAACUUAAUAAAAAAGAAAAGAAGAANNNNNNNNNNNNNNNNNNNNNNNNNNNNNNNNNNNNNNNNNNNNNNNNNNNNNNNNNNNNNNNNNNNNNNNNNNNNNNNNNNNNNNNNNNNNNNNNNNNNCCAUUACAUCGCGUGACAUUUCCCCAAAGANNNNNNNNNNACAGGCAUACAUGACCCAACAAAGCAGGUGUCGGUCAUCAGCGAAUGUAGACGAGUCGUAGCAAGCUACAAGGACUCCAUUACAUCGCGUGACAUUUCCCCAAAGAGGACAGACACAGCAGCUAAGAAGGACACAUGCCGGUCAACCAAUGUGUCCGGAGCAGUAGCGAACUACCAAGGCUCAUUGGAUCACAAAGGGGCAUUUCCUUGUACGGAGUACUACUAAAGUUCACGACUAGGUAAUCUAACCCCAUACAUAUCAAGUACGACACACGUACGCAUGGCAUACCGAUAUGUAUAGAUACAUCGGUGGCAUCACAACAUAACCAUAAGCAUACAACCUUUAUUUAAGAGGCUCGGAAGAGCCACACACAUAAUAUUACANNNNNNNNNNAGGAGUGCUACUAAAGUUCACGACUAGGUAAUCGAACCACAUACAUAUCAAGUACGACACACGUACGCAUGGCAUACCGAUAUGUACAGAUACAUCGAUGGCAUCACAACAUAACCAUAAGCAAACAACCUUUAUUUAAGAGGCUCGGAAGAGCCACACACAUAAUAUUACACAUUAAGGGUCUCACGACCCAUAAUAGCAGUCAUUCAGUUACAAGCCAGCGGAAGAGUUUAAACUGUCUGCGUACAGACAGGGCAACUAGAAGGCACAUGGCCUGACUAUACUACAGAUCCAACGUAGGGCCAGAUCGUAGCUGGGACACCAGCUACCCGUCGUUGUCGAUGUCUACGAAGAACCCUCCAUUAGGGUCAUUAGCAACCUCUGCAACAUUUAUUAAGCAAACAUGAGUACGAAGGUACUCAGCAAGACUUUAGGAGAACUAACUACUCAUGGAAGGUAUCAAAAGGUAUUGUGGGGUUUCAUGCGGGAAGCCAGCAUUUGACUCGUGGCUAGACAGCUUGCUUUUUGAAAUUAGUUUUGACAACUUGAUUUCUCGCACACGAGUCCACUAACACCACAACAANNNNNNNNNNGUAUUAAGCAAACAUGAGUACGAAGGUACUCAGCAAGACUUUAGGAUAACUAACUACUCAUGCAAGGUAUCAAAAGGUAUUGUGGGGAUUCAUGCGGAAAGCCAGCAAGACUUGAUUUCUCGCACACGAGUCCACUAACACGACAACAAUACACUAUCGUGGAAUCAUUCCGUCUCCAUACGGAAAUGCCGUCCACGACACNNNNNNNNNNUUUCAUGCGGAAAGCCAGCAUUUGACUCGUGGCUAGACAACUUGCAUUUUGAAAUUAUUUUUGACAACUUGAUUUCUCGCACACGAGUCCACUAACACCACAACAAUACACUAUCGUGGAAUCAUUCCGUCUCCAUAUGGAAAUGCCGUCCACGACACUCACGCUUAUCUUGACAAUUUUAUGAGUAGCCAUUGAAGUUAUCUAUGAACAACAUAUGUCUCCAAGUAGUCCAUAUCCGCGGACGCGGCCAUUCGAAUAGAUCAUAACCCUGCAGGGGUGUACUUCGUCACACACGCUCUCGCCACAUAUCGCCAUGUGCACGUCAUGCACCUCGGCAACCUUCAAGCGGAAGCCCAGCGAGGGAGUCGGCCACGACCGUUAANNNNNNNNNNUAAGUAGUCCAUAUCCGCGGACGCGGCUAUUCGAAUAGAUCAUAACCCAGCAGGGGUGUACUUCGUCACACACGCUCUCGCCACUUAUCGCCAUGUGCACAUCAUGCACCUCAGCAACCUUCAAGCGGAAGCCCAGCGAGGGAGUCGGCCACGACCGUUAACCACACUAGUACCUAGUCCAGGUUUAUCGCCUAUCUGAGAGUAACCCGUACGGAAGUCCGGCCGAGGUUUCCGCCACGGCCUCAAACGAUGUGCGCAGGGUUCCCAAGCCCACCAUCUGGGUGCCACUUGGUACACCGUGCCACUGCCUACCACAUCACGGCCCACCUCUCAGGUCAGCACGAUGCACGGCCUCCAGCAUUACUAUAAACACCAGAAACUACUUGCAACUNNNNNNNNNNUAGCACCAUGCACGGCCUCCAGCAUUACUAUAAACACCAGAAACUACUUGCAACUNNNNNNNNNNCAGCACAAUGCACGGCUUCGAGCAUUUCUAUAAACACCAGAAACUACUUGCAACUCCUGGACCGAGUACUACGCGAUUAAUAGGCCGAGCGGGGUCAUAUUUCAGGGCCCAGCAUGUGGUAGUAUCUAGUCUUGGAUUACAUACACGGAACUCAGUUCCUAAGGACGGUUCCAAUGAAACAACCUGCCAUGUACUCCUACACAGCCUUUCACCGGUACCUUUACCAAUCAGGUUCAACACACAACCUUUGCUNNNNNNNNNNUCCAGCAUGUGGUAGUAUCUAGUCUUGGAUUACAUACACAGAACUCAGUUCCUAAGGACGGUUCCAAUGAAACAACCCGCCAUGUACUCCUACACAGCCUUUCACCGGUACCUUUACCAAAACAAGUUCAACACACAACCUUUGCUCACCAAACACAUUCCACAUUUCUGUUCAUCUCCCAGAUGACAGACCAUACACAACUCUCUAAGCAUAGCAUGCAUAGCAGGAUAAGGCACAUCAUAGCUCAAGAAACUACCAGAUAUGCUAGGUUGCAAGGUUCGGCUAUUUACUGUGACAAGGUUAAGUCAUGCAAAGGAAGUGGGUCCAACUAUCGUGGCAAAAGCAGUUGAAGCAUUUGAUCCUAAUGCAAUAAAUAGGUGCAGGAGCAAGAACAUAGGAGUUAUCGGGAUGAUCAAAAGGGUUGCUUGCCUUUUUGCUCAGAGGAGGAACGAUAUCCGUCAGACGGAUAUUCGGUGGAAUCCGAGGGUGCGGAGCCUACCGAAAUGAAUGGCAACAUUCAAUAACAAUCAUAUGCAAUCAAAAUGAUGCAUGAGCAUGGCAUGAAAUGAAGGGUGAUAUAGUUAUUAUAAUCAAGAUGUUUUAGGUUUAGAGUUUAGUUGAAUCACAUUCGAAUAGUAAUUCAAACGGGUAUUCUCGGAUACCGGUUUAUUUGAUUCGACCUGAUGCUCAGAACAACCUAAUGUUAACCUGCAUGAAAUGUCAUGUUAUGGUACUGAUUUAUAUCUAGGGCAGUGUGUGAUCAUUGCAUUUAUAAUGAAAUUUGGAUAUCUUUGCAAAUUCCAUUUAUAAAGUGAUUAAAGAAUUGAAUUAUUCCUUAUUUCACAAUUUAGGGUCCUGUAACUUUUUCAAACAUAGUUGAAAAUAGCAUAAUCAGAAUCCUUGAAUUUUUCUGAUACUUUUUCAUAUAUAAUUUAUUUUCAUUGGAGUUACAGAUUAAUUUCUAUGAUUUUGCAAUUUUUAGCAAUUUCCUGAAUUAGUUUUAAACUGGAAAUUCCAUUUAUUGCAUCAGGCUGACGUCAGCAGGUCAGCCGACCUGUUCAGGUCAAACCUGACAGGGGGGGCCCACUGGUCAGCCUCUCUGGGACUAAUCCCGCGCUGACCAGCCCUAACUGAGGUUUGACUUGGCCUUGGGCCCACUUGUCAGCGAGUGAUUAAGUCACUAAUCGGCUGGGUUAGCUUGCCACGUCGACCUCCACCGACGGCGAGGUCGUCCUCGCCGGCGGGGAGCCUCCGGCGACCACCAGCNNNNNNNNNNGAUACACGGAACUCAGUUCCUAAGGACAGUUCCAAUGAAACAACCCGCCAUGUACUCCUACACAACCUUUCACCGGUACCUUUACCAAUCAGGUUCAACACACAACCUUUGCUUACCGAACACAUUCUCACAAUUCUGUUCAUCUCCCAGAUGACAGACCAUACACAACUCUAAGAAUAGCAUGCAUAGCAGGAUAAGGCACAUCAUAGCUCAGGCAACUACCAGGUAUGCUAGGUUGCAAGGUUCGGCUAUUUACUGUGACAAGGUUAGGUCAUGCAAAGGAAGUGGGUUCAACUAACGUGGCAAAAGCAGUGGUAGCAUUUGAUCCUAAUGCAAUAAAUAAGUGCAGGAGCAAGAACAUGGGAAUUAUCGGGAUGAUCAAAAGGGUUGCUUGCCUGGUUGCUCAGAGGAGGAACGAUAUCCGUCAGACGGAUAUUCGGUGGAAUCCGAGGGUGCGGAGCCUACCGAAAUGAAUGGCAACAUUCAAUAACAAUCAUAUGCAAUCAAAAUGAUGCGUGAGCAUGGCAUGAGAAUGCAAGGUGAUAAGUUAUUAUUUUCAACAUGUAUUAGGUUUAGAUUUGAUUUGAAUCACAUUCAAAUAGCAAUUCAAACGGGGUAUUCUCGAAUACCGAUUUAAUUGAUUUGACCUGAUGCUCAGAUCAACUUGAUGUUAACGUGCAUGAGAUGUCAUGUUAGGGUACUGAUUGGUUAUUAGAACAAUGUUNNNNNNNNNNGAAACGGGGUAUUCUCGAAUACCGAUUUAAUUGAUUCGACCUGAUGCUCAGAUCAACUUGAUGUUAACAUGCAUGAGAUGUCAUGUUAGGGUACUGAUUGGUUAUUAGAACAAUGUUUGAUCAUGUCAUUCAUAAUGAAAUUUGAAUAUUUUUCAAAUUCCAUUUAUAAAGUAAUUAUAGGAAUUGACUUAUUCAUUAAUCUACAUGUUUGGGUUCUGUAACUUUUUCAAACAUGAAUGAAAAUAGCAUAUUCAGAUUCCUUCAAUUUUUCUGAUACUUUUUCAUAUAUAAAUUAUUUUCGUUGGAGUUGCAGAUUAAUUUCUAUGAAUUUUACAAGUUUUAGCAAUUUCCUGGAAUUAUUUUUAUACUGGAAAAUACUUUUAUUGCAUCAGNNNNNNNNNNUUAACUUUUUCAAACAUGAAUGAAAAUAGCAUAUUCAGAUUCCUUGAAUUUUUCUGAUACUUUUUCAUAUAUAAAUUAUUUUCAUUGGAUUUACAGAUUAAUUUCUAUGAAUUUUACAAGUUUUAGUAAUUUCCUGGAAUUAUUUUUAUACUGGAAAAUACUUUUAUUGCAUCAGCAUGACAUCAGCAGGUGCAACUGGCCGUUGAAAGUCAAACCUGACCAGUGGGACCCACUGAUCAGUCUCUCAGGUCAAUUUUAGAUUAGGAUUAAUCUUAUUUAGUUAANNNNNNNNNNGGUCCAACUGGCCGUUGAAAGUCAAACCUGACCAGUGGGACCCACUGGUCAGUCUCUCAGGUCAAUUUUAGAUUAGGAUUAAUCUUAUUUAGUUAAUUAAACCCACUGGACCCACAUGUCAGUGUCUUAUUAUUUUUACUGAUUUAUUUUUAUUAUUUCUAACCCUGCCAGAGGCUGACCCCACCAGUCAGUGGCUCAGGCCACCCGAGAUCCACCGGCGGCGAGGUCGUCCUCGCCGGCGGGGAGCNNNNNNNNNNACUGGACCCACAUGUUAGUGUCUUAUUAUUUUUACUGAUUUUUUUAUUAUUUCUAAUCCUGCCAGAGGUUGACCCCACCAGUCAGUGGCUCAGGCCAGCCGAGAUCCACCGGAGGCGAGGUCGUCCUCGCCGGCGGGGAGCCUCCAGCGACCACCAGCACGGCGGUGGGGCUCGGAAACGGCGCACAGGGGGCCAAAUGCUGCGCGGAGAGCACCAGAAGAACGGCACACCUCCCGCAGCUCCAUUUCUGCACUUAGAUGGGGCUGAACUGGCCGGAGAUGACGCCGGCGACGAGCUUGGCGACGGCCAAGGCUUGGGCGUCAUCGGGGUCCUUGAUUCAGAGGGAACUACGCUCGGUUCUUAGCUCCUAUAGCAUCUACGCGUCGAUCUGAAGCUGCUGGUGUCCUCGGAAGGACGAGCUGACCACCGGAGGGCUACCGGCGACGAGCUGCAGUAGCGGUCCUCGUCGGGCUCCGAUGAAACUAGAGCUAGAGGAGGGGAUCAACGGGGAAAACUUAGGGGAAAUGACCGCAUGCUCACGGGGAGUGCAGAGCAGGGCUUAGACGGCUCGGGGAAGGCCUGGGGGCGACGAAUCGGGCAGAGCUCGCCGCCGGCCGAAGGUUGAAGACGACGGUGCCGCGGGCGUUGCCGGGCUCGGGGUGGCUUCGGCUUCUGCGGGGAGGACCAGACCGACGAGGCGGAGCUAACGGCGUGCUCUGAGAGGGGAUCCUAUGGCUAGGGGCACGGGCAGCUCGAGCUUUGCUCGGCUCCAAUGGCGGCAGGAGGGGGAGGAGAGAUCCGGGAGGAAGGAGAGAGCCGACGCUAGGAAUGGAUAGAGGAGGCCUCGGGGAGCUUAUCCCCGGCCUUGCCAGCGCGAGGCGGCGGCCAGGCAGGCACACAGGUGCGUGGCCGCGCUGGAGAAGGCGGCGGCCACCUCCUGCUCCUACUUGCGCGAGGGAGACGACAGGAGCUGGGAUGGGCCGGGCCAGGCUAGGCGACAGGUAAGCUCUUUUCCAUUUCCUUUUGUUUUAUUUCUGUUUUAAUUUCUGACAAUGAUUUGCUAUUUAUUUCAGCUCCAAAAUGGUGGUAAAAAUUAUUUUAAACACACCUGAAUAUUUGUUAUAAUAUUCCCAACCAUUUCCAAAGUUUUCAACAUUUUUGAAAAUUUAUAGUUUCUGAUUUCAAAUUUAAAGUUUGAAACCAGUGGCUUUUGCAUUAAUUUAAAAUGCUUAAAGUGUCAAGAAAAUAGUUUUCUCCAAUGCUCANNNNNNNNNNNNNNNNNNNNNNNNNNNNNNNNNNNNNNNNNNNNNNNNNNNNNNNNNNNNNNNNNNNNNNNNNNNNNNNNNNNNNNNNNNNNNNNNNNNNGUCAUCUUGGAGCUACGUAAGCAUAUUAUGUCAUUUAGGAGAGAACUUCGCUAAGUAUAGUUCAUUUUUUAUUAAGUAGGCUAUUUUGGAGCUAACUAAGCUAAUUGUGUCAUUUAGGUGGAAGCCAAGCUAACUAUAGGUCAUUCUAGAGCUAACUUGGGUUAAAUAUGUCAUUUUGGAGCUUACUAUGCUUAUUAAGCCAUUUUGGGGUUGGCUAAGCUAAUUAUAGGGCAUUUAAUAGCUAAGUUAGGGGCAAUAGAUCAUCUUGGAGCUAUGUAAGCCUUAUUUUAUCAUUUUGGAGAGAACUUAGCUAAGUAUAAGUCAUUUUUUUAUUAAAUAGGCAAUUUUGAAGCUAGCUAAACUAAUUAUGUCAUUUAGUUGGAAGGCUAACUAACUAUAGGUCAUUCUUGAGCCAACUUGGGUAAAAUAGGUCAUUUUGGAGCUAACUAUGCUUAUUAAGCCAUUUUGGAGCUAGCUAAGCUAAUUAUAGGCCAUUUAAUAGCUAACUUAAGGGGAAUAGGUCAUCUUGAAGCUACGUAAGCCUUAUUAUGUCAUUUCGGAAAGCACUUAGCUAAGUAUAAGUCAUUUUUUAUUAACUAGGCCAUUUUGGAGAUAACUAAGCAGAUUAUGUCAUUUAGGACGAAACGAAGCUAAGUAUAUGUCAUUUUGGCGCUACUUAGGUAAAAAUAGGUAAUUUUUAUCUAAAUAUGAUUAUUAAGCCAUUUUGGAGCUAUCUAAGCUAAUUAUAGGCCAUUUAUUAGCUAAGUUAGGGGGAAUAUGUCAUCUUGGAGCUACGUAAGCAUAUUAUGUCAUUUAGAAGAGAACUUAGCUAAAUAUAGGUCAUUUUGUUUAUUAAAUAGGCCAUUUUGGAGCUAACUAAGCUAAUUAUGUCAUUUACGUGGAAGCUAAGCUAACUAUAGGUCAUUCUAGAGCUAACUUGGGUUAAAUAUGUCAUUUUGGACAUAAUUAUGCUUAUUAAGCCAUUUUGGAUCUAGCUAAGCUAAUUAUAGGCCAUUUAAUAGCUAAGUUAGGGGGAAUAGGCCAUAUUGGAGCUACGUAAGCAUAUUAUGUCAUUUAGGAGAGAACGUAGCUAAGUAUAGGUCAUUUUUUUAUUAAAUAGGCCAUUUUGAAGAUAACUAAGCUAAUUAUACCAUUUAGAUGGAAGCCAAGCUGACUAUAGGUCAUUCUAGAGCUAACUUGGGUUAAAUAUGUCAUUUUGGAGCCAACUAUGCUUAUUAAGCCAUUUUGGCCAUUUAAUAGCUAAGUUAGGGGGGAUAGGUUAUCUUGGAGCUACGNNNNNNNNNNCAGCCUAAUUAUGUCAUUUAGGAGAGAACUUAUCUAAGUAUAGAUCAUUUUUAUUAAAUAUGCAAUUUUGGAGCUAACUAAGCUAAUUAUGUUAUUUAGGUGGAAGCCUAGCUAACUAUAGGUCAUUUCGGUUCUAACUUUGGUAAAAUAGGUCAUUUUUGAGCUAACUAUGCUUAUUAAGACAUUUUGGAGCUAGUUAAGCUAAUUCUAUGCCAUUUAAUAGCUAAGUUAGGGGAGUAUGUCAUCUUGGAGAUACCUAAGCAUAUUAUGUCAUAUAGGAGAGAACUUAGCUAAGUAUAGGUCAUUUUUAUUAAAUAUGCCAUUUUGGAGCUAACUAAGGUAAUUAUGUCAUUUAGGUGGAAGCCAAGCUAACUAUAGGUCUUUCUCGAGCUAACUUGGGUUAAAUAUGUCAUUUUGGAGCUAACUAUGCUUAUUAAGCCAUUUUGGAGCUAGCUAAGCUAAUUAUAGGCCAUUUUAUAGCUAAGUUAGGGGGAAUAGGUCAUCUUGGAGCUACGUAAGCAUAUUAUUUCAUUUAGGAGAGAACUUGCCUAAGUAUAGGUCUUUUUUUAUUAAAUAGGACAUUUUGGAGCUAACUAAGCUAAUUAUGUCAUUUGGGACGAAACGAAGCUAAGUAUAUGUCAUUUUGGAGCUACUUAGGUACAAAUGGGUCAUUUUUGAGCUAACUAUGCUUAUUAAGACAUUUAGGAGCUAGUUAAGCUAAUUAUAGGCCAUUUAAUAGCUAAGUUAGGGGGAGUAUGUUAUCAUGGAGCUAUGUAAGCCUUAUUUUGUCACUUAGAGAGAACUUAGCUAAGUAUAUAUCAUUUUUUAUUAAAUAGGCAUUUUGGAGCUAACUAAGCUAAUUAUGUCAUUUAGGACGAAAGGAAGCUAAGUAUAUGUCAUUUUGUAGCUACUUAGGUAAAAAUGGGUCAUUUUUUAGCUAACUAUGCUUAUUAAGACAUUUUGGAGCUAGUUAAGCUAAUUAUAGGCCAUUUAAUAGCUAAGUUAGGGGAGUAUGUCAUCCUCGAGCUACGUAAGCAUAUUAUGUCAUUUAGGAGAGAACUUAGCUAAGUAUAGGUUAUUUUUUAUUAAAUAUGCCAUUUUGGAGCUAACUUAGCUAAUUAUGUCAUUUAGGUGGAAGCCAAGCUAAUUAUAGGUCAUUCUAUAGCUAACUUGGAUUAAAUAUGUCAUUUUGGAGCUAACUAUGCUUAUUAACCCAUUUUGGAGUUAGCUAAGCUAAUUAUAGGCCAUUUAAUAGCUAAGUUAGGAGAAUGGGUCAUCUUCGAGCUAUGUAAGCCAUAUUAUGUCAUUUAGGAGAGAACUUAGCUAAGUAUAGGUGAUUUUUAUUAAAUAGGCAAUUUUGGAGCUAACUAAGCUAAUUAUUUCAUUUAUGUGGAAGCCUUGCUAACUAUAGGUCAUUUCGCACAUAACUUGGGUAAAAUAGGUCAUUUUGGAGCUAACUCUGCUUAUUAAGCCAUUUUGGAGCUAGCUAAGCUAAUUAUAGGCCAUUUAAUAGCUAAGUUAGGGGGAAUAGGUCCUCUCGGAGCUACGUAAGCAUAUUAUGUCAUUUAGGUGGGAGUCAAGCUAACCAUAGGUCAUUCUAGAGAUAACUUGGGUUAAAUAUGUCAUUUCGGAGAUAACUAUGCUUACUAAUCCAUUUUGGAUCUAGCUAAGCUAAUUAUAGGGCAUUUAAUAGCUAAAUUAGGAGGAAUAGGUCAUCUUGGAGCUACGUAAACAUAUUAUGUCAUUNNNNNNNNNNNNNNNNNNNNNNNNNNNNNNNNNNNNNNNNNNNNNNNNNNNNNNNNNNNNNNNNNNNNNNNNNNNNNNNNNNNNNNNNNNNNNNNNNNNNAUUCCCCCUAACUUAGCUAUUAAAUGGCCUAUAAUUAGCUUAACUAGCUCAAAAAUGGCUCAAUAAGCAUAGUUAUCUCCAAAAUGACUUAUUUAACCCAAGUUAGCUCUAGAAUGACCUAUAGUUAGCUUGGCUUCCACUUAAAUGACAUAGUUAGCUUAGUUAGCUCCAAAAUGGCCUAUUUAAUAAUAAAAAAUGACCUAUACUUAGCUAAGUUCCCUUCUAAAUAACAUAAUAUGCUUACGUAGCUCCAAGAUGACAUAUUCCUCCUAACUUAGCUAUUAAAUGGAAUUAGCUUAGAUAGCUCCAAAAUGACUAAAUAAGCAUAUUUAGCUCAAAGAUAACCUAUUUUUACAUAAGUAGCUCCAAAAUGACAUAGUAUAAUUACGUAGCUCCAAGAUGACCUAUUCCCCCUAACUUAGCUAUUAAAUGNNNNNNNNNNACUCUAAAAUGGCUUAAUCAGCAUAGUUAGCUCCAAAAUAACAUAUUUAACCCGAGUUAUCUCUAGAAUGACCUAUAGUUAGCUUGGCUUCCACCUAAAUGACAUAAUUAGCUUAGUUAGCUCCAAAAUGGCCUAUUUAUUAAAAAAUGACCUAUACUUAGCUGAGUUCUCUCCUAAAUGACAUAAUAUGCUUACGUAGCUCCAAGAUGAGCUAUUCCCCCUAACAUAGCUAUUAAAUGACCUAUAAUUAACUUAGCUAGCUCCAAAAUAGCUUAAUAAGCAUAGUUAGCUCAAAAAUGACCUACUUUUACCUAAGUAGCUCCAAAAUGACAUAUACUUAGCUUCAUUUCGUCCUAAAUAACAUAAUUAGCUUAGUUAGCUUCAAAAUGGCAUAUUUAAUAAAAAAUGACCUAUACUUAGCUAAGUUCUCUCCUAAAUGACAUAAUAAGGCUUAUGUACUUCCAAGAUAACCUAUUCCCCCUAACUUAGAUAUUAAAUGGCCUAUAAUGUGCUUAGCUAGCUCCAAAUGGCAUAAUAAGCAUAGUUAGCUCCAAAAUGACCUAUUUUACCAAUGUUAGCUNNNNNNNNNNNNNNNNNNNNNNNNNNNNNNNNNNNNNNNNNNNNNNNNNNNNNNNNNNNNNNNNNNNNNNNNNNNNNNNNNNNNNNNNNNNNNNNNNNNNCUGUGUAGGAGUACAUGGCAGGUUGUUUCAUUGGAACCGUCCUUAGGAACUGAGUUCCGUGUAUGUAAUCCAAGACUAGAUACUACCACAUGCUGGGCCCUGAAAUAUGACCCCGCUCGGCCUAUUAAUCGCGUAGUACUCGGUCCAGGAGUUGCAAGUAGUUUCUGGUGUUUAUAGUAAUGCUGGAGGCCGUGCAUCGUGCUGACCUGAGAGGUGGGCCGUGAUGUGGUAGGCAGUGGCACGGUGUACCAAGUGGCACCCAGAUGGUGGGCUUGGGAACNNNNNNNNNNNNNNNNNNNNNNNNNNNNNNNNNNNNNNNNNNNNNNNNNNNNNNNNNNNNNNNNNNNNNNNNNNNNNNNNNNNNNNNNNNNNNNNNNNNNNNNNNNNNNNNNNNNNNNNNNNNNNNNNNNNNNNNNNNNNNNNNNNNNNNNNNNNNNNNNNNNNNNNNNNNNNNNNNNNNNNNNNNNNNNNNNNNNNNNNNNNNNNNNNNNNNNNNNNNNNNNNNNNNNNNNNNNNNNNNNNNNNNNNNNNNNNNNNNNNNNNNNNNNNNNNNNNNNNNNNNNNNNNNNNNNNNNNNNNNNNNNNNNNNNNNNNNNNNNNNNNNNNNNNNNNNNNNNNNNNNNNNNNNNNNNNNNNNNNNNNNNNNNNNNNNNNNNNNNNNNNNNACCUGGACUAGGUACUAGCGUGGUUAACGGUCGUGGCCGACUCCCUCGCUGGGCUUCCGCUUGAAGGUUGCUGAGGUGCAUGAUGUGCACAUGGCGAUAAGUGGCGAGAGCGUGUGUGACGAAGUACACCCCUGCUGGGUUAUGAUCUAUUCGAAUAGCCGCGUCCGCGGAUAUGGACUACUUAGAGACAUAUGUUGUUCAUAGAUAACUUCAAUGGCUACUCAUAAAAUUGUCAAGAUAAGCGUGAGUGUCGUGGACGGCAUUUCCAUAUGGAGACGGAAUGAUUCCACGAUAGUGUAUUGUUGUGGUGUUAGUGGACUCGUGUGCGAGAAAUCAAGUUGUCAAAAAUAAUUUCAAAAUGCAAGUUGUCUAGCCACGAGUCAAANNNNNNNNNNNNNNNNNNNNNNNNNNNNNNNNNNNNNNNNNNNNNNNNNNNNNNNNNNNNNNNNNNNNNNNNNNNNNNNNNNNNNNNNNNNNNNNNNNNNGGGAUUAGGCCACUUGCUCCACCGUUUCUACUACUUUUUACUUGUUACUUUUCGCUUGCUACAUUUCACCUCACUACACCAUCACUUGUUACCGCUACUUUUAGUGAUUGCAGUUAUUACCUUGCUGAAAACUGUUUACCAGAGCCUUCUGCUCCUCGUUGGGUUCGACACUCUUACUUAUUGAAAGGACUAGAAUUGAUCCCCUAUACUUGUGGGUCAUCAAGACUCUUUUGUCGCGCCGUUGCCAUGGAGUGAAGCGCCUUUGGUAAGUGGAAAUUGGUAAGGAAGCAUCUAUAUAUUGUGCUGAAAUUUAUUGUCACUUGUCACUAUGGAAACUGUUCCUUUGAGGAGUUUGUUCGGGGUAUCUUCACCACGAACGGAAGCACGAGGAGUUUUUCCUCAACCUGAGGUACCUACUGAAAAUAUCUUUUAUGAAAUUCCUUUGGGUAUGCUUGAGAAACUGCUGGCUAAUCCUUUUACAGGAGAUGGAUCUUCACAUCCAGACUUGCAUCUGAUCUAUGUAGAUGAAGUUUGUGGUUUAUUUAAGCUUGCAGGUUUUCCCGAGGAUGAGGUAAAGAAGAAAGUCUUUCCUUUAUCUUUGAAGGACAAGGUGUUGUCAUGGUAUAGGCUAUGUGAUGAUAUUGGAUCAUGGGACUACAAUCGGUUGAAAUUGGAAUUUCAUCAAAAGUUCUAUCCUAUGCAUUUAGUACAUCGUGAUCGGAAUUAUAUUGAUAACUUUUGGCCUCGUGACAGGGAAAGCAUAUCUCAAGCUUGGGGGAGGCUUAAAUCAAUGCUAUAUUCAUGCCCCAAUCAUGAGCUCUCAAGAGAAAUUAUCACUCAAAACUUUUAUGCUCGGCUUUCUCAUGAAGAUCGUACCAUGAUUGACCCUUCUUGUAUCGAUUCUUUUAUGAAGAAGGAUAUUGACCACAAGUGGAAUUUAUUAGAAAGAAUCAAACGUAACUCUGAAGAUUGGGAGCUGGAGGAAGGUAAGGAGUCAGGUAUGAAUUUACAGUUUGAUUGCGUUAAAUCUUUUGUUGAGACAAACACUUCUAGAGAUUUUAGCGCUAAGUAUGGACUUGACUCUGAGAUAGUAGCUUCUCUAUGUGAAUCUUUUGCUGCACAUGUUGAUCUUCCCAAAGAGUAGUGGUUUAAGUAUCAUCCUCCUGUAGAAAGCAACAUAGUCAAAACCAAUCUAGUUGAGGAGAAAGUCAUUGCUUUUAGUGAUCCUGUUGUUCCUUGUGCCUACGCUGAGAAACCACCAUACCCUGCUAGGAUAAAGGAUUAUUCUAAAGCUCCAACUAUGAUACGUAGGUGUUACAUUAGACCACUUGCACCCCCUAAGGAGAUUAGAGUUGAACCUAGUGUUUCCAUUAUCAAAGAUCUCUUAGCCGAACACGUAGACGGGCAUGUUAUCAAAUUCUGUGAGGACUCUGCUAGAAUUGCUAAACCUCACGCGAAAGACAAAUACGGACCUGUAGUUGGCCUGCCCGUUGUUUCUGUCAAGAUAGGAGAUCACUGUUACCAUGGUUUAAGUGAUAUGGGAGCUAGUGCUAGUGCAAUACCCUGUUCCCUAUAUGAUGAAAUCAAAGAUGAGAUUGCACCUGCUGAGUUAGAACCCAUUGAUGUCACUAUUACGCUAGCUAAUAGAGACACUAUCUGCCCUCUGGGAAUUGUGAGAGACGUAGAAGUCAUGUGUGGUAAGACGAAGUAUCCUACUGAUUUCCUCGUCCUUGGUACUACACAAGAUAGCUUUUGUGCCUUCAUAUUUGGUAGACCCUUUCUCAACACUGUCAAUGCUCACAUUGAUUGCAUUAAGCAGACUGUCACAGUUAGUUUCGAGGGUGUGUCUCAUGAAUUUAACUUCUCCAAGUUUGGAAGACAACCCCAUGAAAAAGAGUCGUCUGCUAGGGAUUAAAUCAUUGCCCUUGCCUCUAUUGCCGUACCUCCUACGGAUCCUUUAGAGAAAUAUCUGCUUGAGCAUGAAAAUGAUAUGCAUAUGGAUGAAAGAGAUGAGAUAGAUAAAAUUGUCUUAGAACAAUAUCCUAUUCUCAAGAAUAAUCUGCUUGUUGAACUGCUUGGGGAUCCUCCCCCACCAAAGGGUCAUCCUGUGUUUGAGCUUAAACAGUUGCCUGAUACUCUCAGAUAUGCCUAUCUUGAUGAGAAGGAGAUAUAUCAUGUUAUUAUUAGUGCUCUCCUCUCAGAGCACGAAGAGAAGAAGUUACUAAAAACUCUAAGGAAGCACUGUGCUGCUAUUGGAUAUACUCUUGAUGAUCUUAAGGGUAUUAGUCCCACUCUAUGUCAGCACAAGAUUAAAACCGAUCCUGAUUCUAGACCAUUAGGUGAUCAUCGAAGGAGAUUAAAUCUGAAGAUGAAAGAGAUCGUUAGAAAAGAAAUAUUAAAGCUUCUCGAAGCGGGAAUCAUUUAUCCUGUUGCUCAUAGUGAUUCGGUGAGUCCACUACAUUACGUACCUAAGAAGGGAGGUAUCACCGUCGUCCCUAAUGAUAAGGAUGAACUAAUCCCACAAAGGAUUAUUACUGGCUAUAGGAUGGUGAUAGACUUCCGGAAACUGAACAAGGCAACCAGGAAAGAUCAUUAUCCUUUACCGUUUAUCGACCAAAUGCUAGAAAGGCUAUCCAAACACACACACUUUUGCUUUCUAGACGGUUAUUCAGGUUUCUCGCAAAUACCUGUUGCACAAUCUGAUCAGGAGAAAACCACUUUCACCUGCACCUUCGGUACCUUUGCUUAUAGACGUAUGCCUUUUGGCUUAUGCAAUGCACCUGCCACCUUUCAAAGAUGUAUGAUGGCUAUAUUCUCUGACAUUUGUGAAAAGAUUGUCGAGGUUUUCAUGGAUGACUUCUCCGUUUACGGGUCUUCCUUUGAUGAUUGCCUCAGCAACCUUGAUCGAGUCUUACAGAGAUGCAAAGAUACCAACCUCGUCUUGAAUUGGGAGAAGUGCCACUUUAUGGUUAAUGAAGGUAUCGUCUUAGGACACAAAAUUUCUGAAAGAGGCAUUGAAGUUGAUAAGGCUAAGGUUGAUGCAAUUGAGAAAAUGCCUUGCCCCACAGAUAUCAGAGGUAUACGAAGUAUCCUAGGUCAUGCUGGUUUCUAUAGAAGGUUCAUUAAAGACUUCUCUAAGAUUUCUAGGCCUCUUACCAACAUUUUGUAGAAGUAUGUUCCUUUCGGUUUUGAUGAGGAUUGUGAGGAAGCUUUCGAAAUACUUAAGAAGGCUUUGAUAACCGCACCUAUUGUUCAACCACCUGACUGGAACUUGCCCUUUGCAAUCAUGUGCGACGCUAGUGAUUAUGUUGUUGGUGUUGUUCUAGGACAAAGAGUUGACAAGAAGUUGAAUGUUAUUCACUACGCUAGUUAAACUCUAGACAGUGCCCAAAGAAACUAUGCCACUACGGAAAAGGAGUUUUUAGCAGUCGUGUUCGCAUGUGAAAAGUUCAGAUCUUAUAUAGUUGACUCCAAAGUCACUAUUCACUCUGAUCAUGCUGCUAUUAAGUACCUUGUGGAGAAGAAGGACGCUAAGCCUAGGCUAAUCAGAUGGGUUCUCCUGCUAUAGGAAUUUGAUUUGCACGUUGUUGAUCGAAAGGGUGCUGAUAACCCUGUAGCAGAUAACUUGUCCAGGCUAGAGAAUGUCCUUGAUGACCCACGACCUAUUGAUGACAACUUUCCUGAUGAGCAAUUAAAUGUCAUCCGCACUUCACAUAGUGCACCGUGGUAUGCCGAUUACGCAAAUUAUAUCGUAGCCAAAUACAUACCACCCAGUUUCACCUAUAAGCAAAAGAAGAAAUUCUUCUUUGAUUUGAGACACUACUUUUGGGAUGAUCCUCACCUUUAUAAGGAAGGAGUAGAUGGUGUUAUUAGACGUUGUGUGCCUAAACAUGAACAGGGACAGAUCUUGCAGAAGUGUCAUUCCGAAGCCUACGAAGGACACCAUGCUGGAGAUAGAACUGCUCAUAAGGUAUUGCAAUCAGGUUUCUAUUGGCCCACUCUCUUCAAGGAUGCCCAUAAGUUUGUCUUGUCUUGUGACGAAUGCCAAAGAAUAGGGAACAUCAGUAAGAGUCAGGAAAUGCCUAUGAACUAUUCACUUGUCAUUGAACCAUUUGAUGUAUGGGGCUUUGUUUAUAUGGGACCCUUCCCGAGUUCCAAUGGGUACACUCACAUCUUAGUUGCUGUGGAUUAUGUCACUAAGUGGGUAGAAGCUAUGCCCACUGAAAAUGUUGAUCACCACACCUCUAUUAAGAUGCUUAAAGAAGUCAUUUUCCCAAGAUUUGGAGACCCUGGAUAUUUGAUGACUGAUGGCGGUUCACACUUCAUUCAUGGUGUUUUCCGCAAGAUGCUCGCUAAGUAUGAUGUCAACCAUAGAGUUGCAUCUCCUUAUCAUCCUCAGUCUAGUGGUCAAGUGGAGUUGAGUAAUAGGGAGAUCAAAUUGAUCUUACAAAAGACCGUCAAUAGAUCUCGAAAGAAUUGGUCUAGCAAACUUGACGAUGCACUAUGGGCUUAUAGGACUGCUUAUAAGAAUCCUAUGGGCAUGUCGCCGUAUAAUAUGGUUUAUGGUAAGGCCUGUCAUUUACCUCUUGAGCUGGAACACAAAGCUUAUUGGGCAAUCAAAGAGCUCAACUUCAAUUUCAAACUUGCCGGUGAGAAGCGGUUGUUUGAUAUCAGCUUGUUAGAUGAAUGGAGGGCCGAGGCAUAUGAGAAUGCCAAGUUGUUCAAGGAAAAGGUCAAGAGAUGGCACGACAAACGAAUAAAGAAACGAGAAUUCAAUGUAGGUGAUUAUGUCCUGCUAUACAAUUCUCGCUUAAGAUUCUUCGCAGGCAAACUUCUCUCUAAAUGGGAAGGUCCUUACGUUAUCGAGGAAGUAUAUCGUUCCAGUGCCAUCAAAAUCAAUAACACGCAAGGAAAUUUUCCUAGAGUGGUAAAUGGGCAAAGAAUCAAGCAUUAUAUCUCUGGUACUCCCAUAAAUGUUGAGACCAAUAUCAUCAAUAUCAUAGUUCCAAAGGAGUACAUAAGGGAUGUUUAUCAGCCUGUUUCAGACCCUGAAAAAGAAGAGGUAUCUGUUUUGGUAAGUAAUUGGACUCCGAAACUUUUCCAAUAGGAAAUUUCCUCCGUUUUGGAAUUUUUGGAAAAUUAGAAAAAUAAAAAGAAGUCCGGAGAGCGCACGAGGCGGCCACAAGCUUGGUAGCCGCCACCUACCCCCGGGUGGCGGCUAGAGGGCUUGUGGGAACCUCGUGUGCCUCCCGGACUCUGUUUUCUUGUGGAGCACUCCUUCUGGUCCAGAAAAAAACAUUAUAUAUACGCCCGAGGGUUUUGAUCUCCGUAUCGCACAGUUUUCCUCUGUUUUCGUUUCGAGCCUGUUGUGUGCCGCAGAUUUAGAGCAAAGAUGUUUCAGUAAUCUGUUGUGGAGAAUGAUCAUCCCCAAGCUCAUGAAGAAGUAGAUGCUAAUCUGAAAAGAGUAGAAGUCACGGAAGCCAGGGACAAAGCUAAGGAGAAAACCCAAGCUAGGGAGGAAGCUCAACCUAUGUUCAAUGUUGAAGACGUUGAAGGACUAGAUUUUCUCCAGCCCUUCCUCCGCGUGUUGUCUCCAUCCUUGAUUGAACUCUUAAGGUUUUGUGAAACAACUCGUGCUCGCAAUAUUUCCCUUUCUCGUAAAGUUGUUUUGCUGGAAAACCAUGUCGCAGAUCUCAAAGGUAUAAAUCAAAUAUUGAUAGCUCUCUUGGAAUCAAAGGCAACAACUCCACCACCAUCACCACCAAAGGAAGACAACUAAGCAUUGGUAUGGGCAAUCCCCUUGGCUUUUGCCAAGCUUGGGGGAGUUGCCCUGGUAUCAUAUCACCUUUAUAUCUUUUGCCUUUACCUUUGUUCUAGUUCUUUCCUUUUCAGUUUUUAUUUUUUUUCUUAGAGGAAUAAGUCUUUAGUGUUUAGUUUGAGUCUUUUGCUUUUGUCUCUCCCCCGAUGUAUUCGAGCUUACGAGCUAUAUAAUAAAGAGUAUCUCAGUCAAGGGCUUUGCUUUUUGUCGUGAUCAAAAGUAUGAAAAGAACGAUGGCAUGAAAGAUCAUGAGAUGAUAUUGUGGAAAGUGAUAGCUUCACAUAUAACAAGUAUGAUGAUUGGAACUUGUUGAGAAUAAACCAACAUAGACCUCAGUCGUUGUUGCAAUUAAUAAGAAGUAAUAAGGAAAGAGAGGUUCGCAUAUAAAUAUAUCAUAUUAGACACUUUUUACAUUUGUGAGCACUCACCAAACUAUUACAUGCUUAGAAGUAGAUCUUGGACAAGGAAGACAACAUAAUGAAUUGUGUUUGCUUGGUUCCAAAUAAUGUUAUAUGCUUAGAGAUCCCUUAGCAUGUGACGAUUGCUUCCACCUCAUAUUAGCCAAAACUCCCGCGCCAAGUAGAGAUACUACUUGUGCAUCCAUAAACCUUCAACCCAGUUUUGCCAUGAGAGUCCACCAUACCUACCUAUGGAUUGAAUAAGAUCCUUCAAGUAAGUUGUCAUCGAUGCAAGCAAUAAAAAUUGCUCUCUAAUAUGUAUGAUCUAUUAGUGUGUGGAAAACAUGCCUUAUACGAACCUGUGAUGAGGAAGACAUAAAAGCGACAGACUGCAUAAUAAAGUUCUUUAUCACACGAGGCAAUAUAAAGUGACGUUCCUCCGCACUAAUAGGACACGCAUCCAAACCUCAAAAGCGCAUGACAACCUCCGCUUCCCUCCGCGAAGUGCCUAUCUUGUGCCUUUACUUUUUGCCCUUGUAAGAGUCAUGGUGAUCUUCACCAAUUCCCUAUUUUUGCCUUUGUCUUGGCUACCGUCACAUGCUUGGGAAAGAUCUAUAUUCAUAUAUCAACUUGGUGUUGAGUACCUAUGCUUUAUUAUUGUUGACUUUACCCUUGAGGUAAAUGGUUGGGAGGAAAACCUACAAGCCCCUAUCUUCCUCUGUGUCCAGCUGAAACUUUGAUACCAUGAGUACCACAUGAGUUGUAACAAUUGUGGAAAAUAAAUGAGAUGAUUGAGUAUGUGGGUUUGCCUUACAAGCUCUUAUUUGACUCUUUCUGAUGUUAUGAUAAAUUACAAUUGCUUCAAUGACUUUGGACUAUUGUUGGUUACUUCCCGGUAAGGAUUUUGCUUCAUGCUUUGCUUUGUGAAGGAAUUGUUACUUUCCCAUAAGAAUCUUUAUGAUGUUAGAACCACGGUUUUGGGUACAGCCCGAGAAAUUUGGAUACCUGGCGGUAACCGCAUUUCUCGCCGCCCCGCGAGAAUUAUCUAUCCCGAGCAAAUAAUUCUGAAUUGUUUGAAUAUUUUGAAUUUAAACUGCCAGCUAUAGUAAAUAAGUAGUGUCUCCCAAGUAUACCAGCAUCCUUACUGUGGCGUCGUGGUAACGAUCUAUUAUCUAUGUCCAGAGAUAGCUGGUUCGAAUCCAUCAUCUGUAGUUUUUUGUUUGUUUUUCAGAAUAUGUAAGUAGAAAACCUAAAAAAAUGGGGCCCCAAAGAAUCAAACUCUCUGGUUGAAUCCAUCAUCUCCAGUCUUUUGUUUGUUCUUUAGAAUAGGUAAGUAGAAAACAUGAAAAAAAGGGGCCCCAAAGAAUCGAACUCGCGACCACAAAUUAGCUUAGCGCGCACGCAGUUGAUGUACCACUGAGCUAUUACCUCUUUUCUGAAGAAUACUAGUUCGAGUUCUUUUCAUAUCCACGAGAAAUUUUGCGCAUCCGGGAUCCAAAAUAUUGGUUAGAACUCGAUCGGUUGAUUCUUGAGCAGCUCGUCCAUAGCGCCGCCACCGCUCGAUACCUCGGCACCAGCGGGCGCCCUCCCGCCCGUCGUCCCGCCGUCGUUUGCCCCUAGCCAUACCUCGGCACUGAUACGUCCAUUUUGCAUCAUGCUUUCAUGUUGAUAUUUAUUGCUUUAUGGGCUAUUAUAUUACUUUGUGGUACCAUAUUUAAGUCUUUUCUCUCUUAUUUUGCAAGGUUUAUUUGAAGAGGGAGAAUUCAGGUAGCUGGAAUUCUAGACUGGAAAAGGAGCAAAUCUGAGUCCUCUAUUCUACACAUCUCCAAAUGCCCUGAAAAGUUACGUGGAUUUUUUUGGGAUUAUAUAAAAAAUACUAGGCGAAAGAAGUACCAGAGGGGAGCUACCAGGGCGCCACAAGCCUGGUAGCUGCCACCCCCUGGUGGCAGCUACAGGGAUUGUAGGCUCCCUGACGGCCCACCGGGCCCCCUCUUUUGCUAUAUGAAGGGUUUCGUUCCAUAAAAAAUCAAUCGGGAGCUUUUUUGUUGUUUCUCCGCCGCCACGAGGCGGAACUUGAGCAGAUCCAAUCUAGAGCUCCGGUAGGACGAUCCUGCCGGGGAAACUUCCCUCCCGGAGGGGGAAAUCGUCGCCAUCGUCAUCACCAACACUCCUCUCAUCGGAGGGGACUGGUAUCCAUCAACAUCUUCAUCAGCACCAUCUCAUCUCCAACCCCUAGUUCAUCACUUGUAACCAAUCUCCGUUUCGCGACUCCAAUUGGUACUUGUAAGGUUGCUAGUAGUGUUGAUUACUCUUUGUAGUUAAUGCUAGUUGGAUUACUUGGUGGAAGAGUUUAUGUUCAGAUCCUUGAUGUUAUUCAUUACACCUAUGAUCAUGAUUACGAUUAUGCUUUGUGAGUAGUUACUUUUGUUCCUAAGGACAUGGGAUAUGUCAUGUUAAUAAUAGUCAUGUGAAUUUUAUAUUCGUUCGGUAUUUUGAUAUGUUGUAUGUUGUCUUUUCCUCUAGUGAUUUUAUGUGAAUGUCGAGUACAUAACACUUCACUAUAUUUGGGCCUAGAGGAAGGCAUUGGGGAGUAGUAAGUAUAUGAUGGGUUGCUGGAGUGAUAGAAGCUUAAACCCCAGUCUAUGCGUUGCUUCGUAAGGGGCUGAUUUNNNNNNNNNNNNNNNNNNNNNNNNNNNNNNNNNNNNNNNNNNNNNNNNNNNNNNNNNNNNNNNNNNNNNNNNNNNNNNNNNNNNNNNNNNNNNNNNNNNNAUUCCCCCUAACUUAGCUAUUAAAUGGCCUAUAAUUAGCUUAACUAGCUCAAAAAUGGCUCAAUAAGCAUAGUUAUCUCCAAAAUGACUUAUUUAACCCAAGUUAGCUCUAGAAUGACCUAUAGUUAGCUUGGCUUCCACUUAAAUGACAUAGUUAGCUUAGUUAGCUCCAAAAUGGCCUAUUUAAUAAUAAAAAAUGACCUAUACUUAGCUAAGUUCCCUUCUAAAUAACAUAAUAUGCUUACGUAGCUCCAAGAUGACAUAUUCCUCCUAACUUAGCUAUUAAAUGGAAUUAGCUUAGAUAGCUCCAAAAUGACUAAAUAAGCAUAUUUAGCUCAAAGAUAACCUAUUUUUACAUAAGUAGCUCCAAAAUGACAUAGUAUAAUUACGUAGCUCCAAGAUGACCUAUUCCCCCUAACUUAGCUAUUAAAUGGCCUAUAAUUAGCUUAGCUAACUCUAAAAUGGCUUAAUCAGCAUAGUUAGCUCCAAAAUAACAUAUUUAACCCGAGUUAUCUCUAGAAUGACNNNNNNNNNNNNNNNNNNNNNNNNNNNNNNNNNNNNNNNNNNNNNNNNNNNNNNNNNNNNNNNNNNNNNNNNNNNNNNNNNNNNNNNNNNNNNNNNNNNNNNNNNNNNNNNNNNNNNNNNNNNNNNNNNNNNNNNNNNNNNNNNNNNNNNNNNNNNNNNNNNNNNNNNNNNNNNNNNNNNNNNNNNNNNNNNNNNNNNNNNNNNNNNNNNNNNNNNNNNNNNNNNNNNNNNNNNNNNNNNNNNNNNNNNNNNNNNNNNNNNNNNNNNNNNNNNNNNNNNNNNNNNNNNNNNNNNNNNNNNNNNNNNNNNNNNNNNNNNNNNNNNNNNNNNNNNNNNNNNNNNNNNNNNNNNNNNNNNNNNNNNNNNNNNNNNNNNNNNNNNNNNNNNNNNNNNNNNNNNNNNNNNNNNNNNNNNNNNNNNNNNNNNNNNNNNNNNNNNNNNNNNNNNNNNNNNNNNNNNNNNNNNNNNNNNNNNNNNNNNNNNNNNNNNNNNNNNNNNNNNNNNNNNNNNNNNNNNNNNNNNNNNNNNNNNNNNNNNNNNNNNNNNNNNNNNNNNNNNNNNNNNNNNNNNNNNNNNNNNNNNNNNNNNNNNNNNNNNNNNNNNNNNNNNNNNNNNNNNNNNNNNNNNNNNNNNNNNNNNNNNNNNNNNNNNNNNNNNNNNNNNNNNNNNNNNNNNNNNNNNNNNNNNNNNNNNNNNNNNNNNNNNNNNNNNNNNNNNNNNNNNNNNNNNNNNNNNNNNNNNNNNNNNNNNNNNNNNNNNNNNNNNNNNNNNNNNNNNNNNNNNNNUUCUCUCCUAAAUGACAUAAUAUGCUUACGUAGCUCCAAGAUGAGCUAUUCCCCCUAACAUAGCUAUUAAAUGACCUAUAAUUAACUUAGCUAGCUCCAAAAUAGCUUAAUAAGCAUAGUUAGCUCAAAAAUGACCUACUUUUACCUAAGUAGCUCCAAAAUGACAUAUACUUAGCUUCAUUUCGUCCUAAAUAACAUAAUUAGCUUAGUUAGCUUCAAAAUGGCAUAUUUAAUAAAAAAUGACCUAUACUUAGCUAAGUUCUCUCCUAAAUGACAUAAUAAGGCUUAUGUACUUCCAAGAUAACCUAUUCCCCCUAACUUAGAUAUUAAAUGGCCUAUAAUGUGCUUAGCUAGCUCCAAAUGGCAUAAUAAGCAUAGUUAGCUCCAAAAUGACCUAUUUUACCAAUGUUAGCUCCGAAAUGACCUAUAGUUAGCUAGGCUUCCACCUAAAUGACAUAAUUAGCUUAGUUAGCUCCAAAAUUGCCUAUUUAAUAAAAAAAUGACCUAUACUUAGGUAAGUUCCCUCAUGAAUGACAUAAUAAGGCUUACGUAGCUCCAAGAUGAGCUAUUCCCCCUAACUUAGCUACUAAAUGGCCUAUAAUUAGCUUAGCUAGCUCCAAAAUGGCUUAAUAAGCAUAGUUAGCUCCGAAAUGACAUAUUUAACCCAAGUUAGCUCUAAAAUGACCUAUAGUUAGCUAGGCUUCCACCUAAAUUACAUAAUUAGCUUAGUUAGCUCCAAAAUUGCCUAUUUAAUAAAAAAUGACAAAUACUUAGCUAAGUUCUCUCCUAAAUGAAAUAAUACGGCUUACGUAGCUCCAAGAUGACCUAUUCCCCCUAACUUAGCUAUUAAAUGGCCUAUAAUUUGCUUAGCUAGCUCCCAAAUGGCUGAAUAAGCAUNNNNNNNNNNNNNNNNNNNNNNNNNNNNNNNNNNNNNNNNNNNNNNNNNNNNNNNNNNNNNNNNNNNNNNNNNNNNNNNNNNNNNNNNNNNNNNNNNNNNUAGGGCGAAUUCAAUCUUCAUGGAGUAUUUGGAUAAAUUCGUCGUGGUAUACCUCGAUCAUAUUCUCAUCUACUCGAAGAACGAACAAGAACAUGCCGAGCAUCUAAGGCUGGUAUUGAUGAAGCGUCGAGAGAAUCGCCUUUAUGCCAAGUUUUCAAAAUGUGAAUUUUGGUUACCAGAAGUGACCUAUCUAGGCCACGUAAUCUCUGGUAUGGGUAUUGUUUUCAAUCUCGAGAGAGUUCAAGCCGUCCUUGAUUGGACUCAACCCGAAUCGGCUAAGCAAGUUAGGAGUUUUCUUGGACUAGCGAGCUAUGGUCACCGCUUUGUCGAGCAUUUCUCCAAGCUUGCAAAGCCUCUAACUGAACUCCUCAAGAAAGAUAAAAGUUCGAGUGGACACCACAGUGUGAGCAUAGCUUUUAGGAACUGAAAAGACGCGUGACUUCCCCACCUGUGUUACUACCACCAGAUUUUUCUAAGGACUUUGUUAUCUAUUGCGACGCCUCGCGACAAGGAUUAGGUUGCAUACUCAUGCAUGAUGUCAUGUGAUUGCAUACGCAUCUCGACAGUUGCGUCCACAUGAGGAUAAUUAUCCCAGACAUGAUCUUGAGCUUGCAGCUGUAGUUCAUGAACUUAAAACCUGGCGACAUUACCUUCUUGGUAAUCGUUGCGAAAUAUUCACUGAUCACCAAAGUCUGAAAUUAUCUUCACCCAGCCGGAAUGGAAUCUCAGGCAAAGACGAUGGGUUGAGUUGAUCACAGAUUAUGACUUGGGGAUAACUUACACCCUAGGGAAGGCCAAUGUUAUGGCUGAUGCACUAAGUCGUAAGUCUUAUUGUAAUAAUUUGAUGUUAAAACGAGGUCAACCACAUCUCUAUGAGGAAUUUCAGAAGUUAAACCUCCACAUAGUUCCUCAAGGAUUCCUUUCUUCAUGACUAAUGUAACACCUACCAACCCUUCACCUAGGAGUAUGCGCUUAGCACUUUGUUUUGAUUACUAAUAAAAACUAUCGUAACAAGUAUGUGAGUUCUUCAUGACUAAUGUGAGUCCAUGGUAUAGAUGCACUUUCACCUUCCACCAUUGCUAGCCUCUCUAGUGCCGCGCAAUUCUCGUCGGUGCACAAACCCACCAUAUGCCUUCCUCAAAACAGCCACCAUACCUACCUACUAUGGCAUUUUCAUAGCCAUUCCGAGAUAUAUUGCCAUGCAACAACCACCGUUACGUCUCAUGACUUGUGUCGUCACUCUCAUAUUGCCAUUGCAUGAUCGUAAGAUAGCUAGCGAGAUGUUUCAAUGUCAUACACCAUGCUAGAUCGUUGCACAUCCCGGUACACUGCCGGAGGCAUUUCCUAUAGAGUCAUCAUCAUUUUGAGCUGUGAGUAAAUAAAAGUGUGAUGAUCAUCAUUAUUAGAGCAUUGUCCCAUGUGAGAAAAAAAAAGAGGCCAAAGAGCCCAAAAAUAUAAAAAAAAGAGAAAAAAAAGAGGCCUAAGAGCCCAAUUGAAAAAAAGAGAGAAAAGGAGAGAAGGGACAAUGCUACUAUCUUUUUCCACACUUGUGCUCCAUAAUAGCACCAUGUUCUUCAUGAUUUAGAGCUUCUUGCUUUGUCACUACCAUAUGCUAGUAGGAAUCUUCAUUAUAUAACUUGGCUUGUAUAUUCUAAUGAUGGGUUCCUCAAAAUUGCCCUAGGUCUUCGUGAGCAAGCAAGUUGGAUGCACACCCACUAGUUUUCCUUUUGAGCUUUCACAUACUUAUAGCUCUAGUGCAUCUCUUGUAUGGAAAUCCCUACUCAUUCACAUUGAUAUCUAUUAAUGGGCAUCUCCAUAGACUUUUGAUACGCUGAGUCAAUGUGACCAUCUCCUCCUUUUUGUCUCACAACCACCACCACACUCGAUUCCACUUGUAGUGCUAUAUCCAUGGCUCAUGCUCAUGUAUUGCGUGAUAGUUAUAAAAAGUUUGAGAAAGUAAGAGUGUGAAAACAAUUACUUGGCCAAUAUCGGGGUUGUGCAUGAUUUACAUUAGUUGUGUGAGGAUGAUGGAGCAUAGCCAAACUAUAUGAUUUUGUAGGGAUAACUUUCUUUGGCCUUCUUAUUUUGAAAGUUCAUGAUUACUUUGCUAGUUUGCUUGAAGUAUUAUUGUUUUCAUGUCAAUAGCAAACUAUUGUUUUGAAUCUUACGGAUCUGAACAUUCAUGUCACGUGAAAGAAGUUGCAAAGGACAACUAUGCUAGGUAGCAUUCCACAUCAAAAAUUCAUUCUUUAUCACUUCCCUACUCGAGGACGAGCGGGAGUUAAGCUUGGGGAUGCUUGAUACGUCUCCAACGUAUCUAUAAUUUUUUAUUGUUUCAUGCUAUUAUCUUGUUAGACUUUGGAUGUUUUGCAUGCCUUUUAUACAUUUUUUGGGACUAACUUAUUAACCCAGUGCCAACUGCCAGUUCUUGUUUUUUCCAUGUUUUUAACCCCUUUCAGAGGAGAUUUUGAAACGGAGUCCAAACGAAAUAAAAUCCCCGAAAAGAAUUUUUCCGUAACGGAUGAAGAUCAGGAGACGUGAGAGCCAAGGCAGGGGGCCCUAGGGGCCCCACAAGCCCUCACCCCGCGGCUAGGGGGAGGCCGCGGCGCACAGGUUGUGGGCCCCCUGGACGCCCUCUACCCUAGGGGUUGCGCCUAUAUAUUCCCUAAAAAUCCCAAAAAAAAGUCAGGAGAUCAUCGAAAGUACUUUUCCGCCACCGCAAGCUUCUGUCUCCACAAGAUCCCAUCUGGGGCACGUUCUGGUGCCCUGCCGGAGAGGGGAUUCGGACACGGAGGGCUUCUUCAUCAGCACCAUGGCCUCUCCAAUGAUGUGUGAGUAGUUCACCAUAGACCUACGGGUCCAUAGCUAGUAACUAGAUGGCUUCUUCUCUCUCUUGGAUCUUCAAUACAAAGUUCUCCAUGAUCUUCAUGGAGAUCUAUCCAAUGUAAUCUUCUUUUGUAGUGUGUUUGUCGAGAUCCGAUGAAUUGUGGAUUUAUGAUGAGAUUAUCUAUGAAUCUUAUUUGUGUUUCUUCUGAUAUCUCUUAUGCAUGAGUUCAUAUCCUUGUAAUUCUCUUCGAGUUGUGGGUUUUGUCUGGCCAACUAGAUCUAUGAUUCUUGCAAUGGGAGAAGUGCUUGGUUUUGGGUUCAUACUGUGUGGUGAGCUCACACAGGGACAGAAGGGGUAGGAAGGCACGCAUCAUGUUGUUGCCAUCAAGGGUAAAAAGAUGGGGUUUUCAUCAUUGGUUUGAGAUUAUCCCUCUACAUCAUGUCAUCUUGCUUAAGGCGUUACUCUGCUCGUCAUGAACUCAAUACACUAGAUGCAUGCAGGAUAGCGGUCGAUGUGUGGAGUAAUAGUAGUAGAUGCAGAAAGUAUCAGUCUACUUGUCUCGGAUGGGACGCCUAUAUGUAUGAUCACUGCCUUAGAUAUCGUCAUGACUUUGCACGGUUCUAUCAAUUGCUCGACAGUAAUUUGUUCACCCACCAUGAUAUUUGCUAUUUCGAGAGAAGCCUCUAGUGAACACUAUGGGCCCCGGGUCUACUCCACACCAUAUUUUCAGCCUUACACUUUUUACUUCGUUGCACUUUCCGCCUUCAGAUCUCACUUUGCAAACAAUCUUGAAGGGAUUGACAACCCCUUUGAAGCGUUGGGUGCAAGCUUGUUUGUGUUUGCGCAGGUACUCUGGACUUGACGAGACCCUCCUCUGGAUCGAUACCUUGGUUCUCAAACUGAGGGAAAUACUUACUGCGCCUGUGCUGCAUCACCCUUUCCUCUUCAAGGGAAAAACCAACGCAAGCCCAGUCUCCGUCAACGUGUCAAUUUCUGGCGCUGUUGUCUAUUGGCGUAGCAGUCUCCUACCCAAGCUUCCCCACCCUUGCUCUUCAUUGUUGCUUGUAGUAGUGAUGGCACCUGUGAAGAGAUCCUCAACCACCGAGAAAGAGGAAGCUGUGAUGGUGGAAGUGGGCGUGCCGUAGUCGGCAAGGGGAAGACGCCGCCCCCAUACUCUUGUGGCCGUGCUCGAGGCACCUCUCAGGGUGUGCAGGCGCUCCCCACCGAUAGUUCCUACAGGCCUGAGAGACAUGGGAGGGGCUCUCUUCACGAGCGUGGGCGCAGUGGACGAGGCAGCCGAGGAUGGGGCGAGUGGUACAACGCGGGCACCCGACCUCCUAGGUCGUGAAGUCGCUCUACCAAUGCAGCACGUGAGUUCAUCGUAAGGAUGGAGGAUAGGCCUCGGACUGGCUCUAGCUCCCGGAUUCUAUUGCGGAGGAGAUGGAGGAGCAUGUGCCCCUGGGCCUGUCGCUACAGCCAGACGGCUACUGUACCAGACUUCCUGUGUGGUGAGAGAGUUCAGCUCCCUCGGCUUCAUGUUUUGGAAGCGUGGGUGGAAGUCCUUCGCCCUUGCCCAGGGCUUGCAGGAAGGGCACUGUAAUGCCCCGGACACACCCGCCGGCAGUCGUUACUCCUGGCGGGAUCUAGACUGGCCCCACAUAUUUUGUCCUCACUCAUGCGCACCCGGGAUCAACUUCCCGGUCGGUCACCCAUCCUAGAACUACUCCAAGCUGAGCACGCUUAACCUGAGAGUUCUGUUCGAAUGGGCUCCCGGAAAAGAAGGAAUUCCUUAUUGAUAUGAGUAGUCUAUCAACCCUAAUAAGCCAGGCUAUCACAUACACCACCACUCAGAGGAACCGACGUCCUCGUCGGGCCACAGGAGCGUUCCCUCUUGGUACAAACGUCUGUGUAUCCAGUCCAGUACAUGUACCAUGUCGUGUGCCACGACGGGUCACAAACGUCAUGAACAACAUGACCGCACACCUGUCCGCAAACAUCCGUGUAACCGCGAGGGUCGGCUCUGAUACCAACUUGUAAUGCCCCGGACACACCCGCCGGCGGUUGUUACUCCUGGCGGGAUCUAGACUGACCCCACAUAUCAAUACUAGUCUUUUCUGCGCACUUUGUCCUCACUCAUGCGCACCCGGGAUCAACUUCCCGGUCGGUCACCCAUCCUAGAACUACUCCAAGCUGAGCACGCUUAACCUGAGAGUUAUGUUCGAAUGGGCUCCCGGAAAAGAAGGAAUUCCUUAUUGAUAUGAGUAGUCUAUCAUCCCUAAUAAGCCAGGCUAUCACAGGCACGUCCUCCACUUCAGUUUGAUUAGGCCACCACACUCUUCAUGAAGGCUUUUGGUAAUGCGGGUGGUCUCCUGGACUGCUGCAUGAAAGGUGAUAGCAGCAGCAGUAGCAGCCCUUCCGGCAUCGAUAGAAGCGGCAGCUCUUCCUCUGGGGGGAGCGGGGACGACAACGACCUUGACUUCUCCAUGGGCGCCCAUGUCAAAGAGGAGGGCUCUAACUAGGCGCGGGUGACUCCAACAUUGGGGUCCUCGACAGUGGUGCUUCAAGAGUCCGAUCUUUCUUCUUUUGCAUUUUCUUCCCUUUCCUGUAACGCAACAUGCUAGCCCUGUGGGGGCAUGUAAAAAGGGGUUAUGUCCUUCAUGCUUCAAAUCGAAUGCUAUUUUGGGUCGAAAACAAACUUCUCCCUAGUACUCUUUGUUAAGCUUGUAUCCCCCUCCGAGGUCAUCUCGAUGCUUCAUGUUGCUAAGGCCCAGCCCCCGAGCGUGCCCACCGUUGCUGGUAUAAAGGCUCCCAAGGCACGACGCUCAGGGCCUCGCCUUCAGCGCGCCAGCAUCUCGCGCAAGGGGUUGUUACUAGUGGGGCUCGCCUCGCGAGGCCCCUUGAGGGAAGUCCUGCACAGAAAACACAUUGUUUCGAAUGUUACGCGCUUGCCCGCUUGCAUUAGGGUGUUAUGCGAGAAGUAUAGGCCCCAAGGGACUUGGUGGGGUGACGUGCUCGUGGGCAUGCUCGUGAGCCCGAACCCUGUUCUUUGGUUUCCCAUCACCGCUGGGUCAAAUGCACGCAAAGCACCGUGCCCAGCUCCCGCGACCGUGAGGGGAAACCUGUAGCUACCGAACCGAGGGCUUUCCACCCUAAGGUGGUGCACCCCCCGGGGGCAUUCUUUGUUGUAUUCUCCCCGGCUCGAUGAAUGGGGCUUCCACUAGGCGUGGACAUCGUAUGAAAAGAGAAAACCAAGAAAACUCCGUGAAAACUAGAAGACCAAGAUCUUCAUUAAAACCAGAGGCAAACUUG
Molecule: long non-coding RNA, 55120 nt
Filed under: Hordeum vulgare
Lineage: Eukaryota; Viridiplantae; Streptophyta; Magnoliopsida; Poales; Poaceae
Description: long non-coding RNA (HVUL_LNC009985)
Source: RNAcentral